This 81976-nucleotide long non-coding RNA is filed under the name Arabidopsis thaliana (thale cress). RNAcentral's name for it is "long non-coding RNA (ATHA_LNC000041)". Lineage: Eukaryota; Viridiplantae; Streptophyta; Magnoliopsida; Brassicales; Brassicaceae. The record is from RNAcentral.
AGUCGCAGUUUCAUUGGCUUCAAUGGUUUUCUCAACAAUGUAGUCUUUUGUUUUCUCGCCAUCCGCCAAGGCCUCCUUCGUCUUAUCCGUCACGAAAUCAGAAGCUUUCUUUCUAUAUAUAUAUAUAUAUAUGUUAAGAUUCAUUAUUGACAAACGAUUUUAAAAACAUAUAUCUACACCAUGGAAACUCAAUCCUCAACAAGGCCAUUAUAGUUGAUUAUAGUAUGUAUAAAACUGUUAUGAUGGGAUUAACCAAAAUAAAAUAACUAUCAUGGCGAGUACGUAAUGUAUAUGAGAGUUUUUGCGAGUACACAUGAAGAUAGCCUUAGUCACGAGAAAAUUUGUUAAAAGAAAAGAAUAUAGACUCACGUGGCUUCGUUGAGGUCAUCGAGGAUGUUGCCGUCACUUUUAACGGCGUAUAUCAACGACUUCUUGCGCUGAGCAACGACGACGAGCUCACUCUUCCGGCCAACUCUGACGGUACCAACACCACUCUGCUUUGCUCCUACGUUGUGGAAAGAAGAACCCAUGCCACUGAGAACAGCUCCUGAUAAAGACAUCGCCAUGAGGACUCUUAAAGAUGUUUUUUGGGAGGAAAAUAAAUACAAGAAAGAGUUUUAAGAUGGAGAAAGUGAGAUGAGAAAAAUCUAACCUCCAAUAGUAUCGUUUUAUAGAUCUCUCGACCAAUGAGAAUCCAAAACUACACGUGUGAGUGCUAGAUAUUUUUGCGCAUUGCUAUUAUCUUUAACUAUCGAAUAAGAAGAGUUUUCGUUGGUUCGUACUAGUUACGUGUAACCAUUUCUAUGGUUACCAAAAGAAAAAAGAGGUCGGCCAUCAAGUUGUGGUUAUAACCGUUAUACACAUGUUAGCAUUUUUGGCUACGAUAUUUACAUGUUAGCAUUUCUGUUUUAUUUGCAACUUUCAACAUUAAUAACUAGACUCGAUAGAGAUAUAUAUAUAAAGGAAAAAUGUAUUAGUCGUUAAGCUGAAAAUGUACAAGUCUUUGUGUAUGUCUAUUUAGUCAUUUUUAGCAAUUAGCUAGGUUAAAACAACUUUUAACAUUUUUUCAAUUAAGUACAAACUGUAGUUAAACUACUAAUAGUAUAUAGAUAUAUUUCUAAGAACCUAAUACUCCAAUGUUAAAUAAACAAAAACAAAAACUCACACUUCAAUGCCUAAUUGUUAUACUAUAAUUAUAAAUACCAAUGUUACUUUCAAAUAUAACUAUUUUGCUCAACAGCAAAAACGCUAUUUACAAUGCCUAAUAUUUUUUUUUUUGAUAAAUAUGAAAUAGAGCAUGUACCAGCCAAGAAUGAGCUUAUUAGAUAUGUCCCACAUUGGUUGGGUAUGUGAGUAAUGUGCUCCUUAAUUAUGUGGUGUGGCAUACCGACUUCUAGAUGAUAUGUUUGUGACGGGAGAUGAGGUGAUAAUUUGUUGGUGCCGGACCAUAAUUUUUCCUUCCACGGAUUGUAAUUCACUGCUUGGAAUGGCUAAGUGGAUCAAUGUUGAUUACAAGCCACCAAAUUUUGAAGUUUUUGGUACAACAAUGUAUCAUACCAAUUCGAUGUCAUACCAAACAGUAAAUAGUGGACAUGCGAAGAAAAAAAGCAGUUCCUCUUUUAUUGGUUCGUCACAAAAGAGACAAGGCUAUCGAUCUCCCAUAUGCUCUCAUCCUUUCACCGUUGAAAGACUCUAGACGGCGAUGUUACUUAUAAUUACUCAUUAUUUAAUUUUGUCUAUUGAAUAUUUUGCAAAACAUUAAAGAAUGUGACGGUGACUGUGGAUACCAUAUCUUAUUUCAGUUGUGAUGUGAAAUUAAUAGAAAUUACAACAGACUCAUCUUAUUGUAAGUACUAUUAAACAUGAAGAGAGAGGAUAUGGAUCAAUAUAUCUACGAGUUUAAGUGCUUGAAAUUAACUGAUUAGGUAAGACCCUACUUUGUGGCAUCCUUAGCCUCUCCUGCUUUACCCUCCGCGAACUCUGCCGCCUUGUUUGCGGCUUCUUUUCCUUUCUCCUCCACAUACGCCGCAGCUUUCUCAGCUUCUUUACCCAAUGUAUCUGCGGUUUCACUGUUUUUUUCAACAACGUAGUCUUUCGCUUUCUCACCAUCUGCUAAUGCCUCUUUUGUUUUAUCCGUCACGAAAUCUGAAGCUUUCUUUCUAUAUCAUUUUCAAAUUAAAAUUUAUUUUAGUAUUUAUCAAAGGUUUCAAAACACAUAUCCAAAAGUAGUCAACAGAAUCAUCAAAUAAACUUAGAGCUAUACAUGUAAACUAGAAAAAUAGAGAUAUAUAAUGUACGGUAUAUGAAUCUUUAUCUUUGAUAAUAGUCAAAUAUGAUCAUAAAAUAAGUUCAAAACAAACAUAUUUCCACUAAAAUCUAUACUAAUAUAGUAUACCAUAAACAUUGCCUGCUAAGAUCCUUACUUAUGAGGCAAGAUACUAAAAGAAGAAAGAAUGUAGACUUACGUGGCCUCGUUGAGGUCAUCGAGGAUGUUGCCGUCACCUUUAGCGGCGUAGAUCAACGACUUCUUGCGUUGAGAAACGACGACGAACUGAGUUUUCUGGCCGACUCUGACAGCGCCGAAGCUGCUCUGCUUGGCUCCGCUGUGGAAAGAAGAAGCCAUACCAGUGAGAACAGCUCCUGAGAAAGACAUCGCCAUGAGAGAGAUCUUUAAGAUGUGAGAAUAAAAAGAAGUUUUUGUUUGGAAAUGAAAGGAGGAGUUUUUAGAUGAACAAAGUGAGAUGAGAAGAAUCUAAUCUCCAAUAGUAUCGUUUUAUAGAUCGAUAGACCUAUUACACUCCAAAAUUACACGUAUUAAGAGUAAGAUAUUUUUUGCACAUUACCGAGUUUCUGUUCGUUCUUUUCAGGCCACGUGUAAUCAUAUUUGUGGUUUUCAGAAAGAAGAAGAAAAAAAAAGCAGGUCGGCCAUGAAAUUGUGGCUACAUACAAAUUGCAUUUUUGGUAACAAAAACUUACAUGUUAGCAUUUCUAGAUUUCUUUUUUUCAAUUUCCAGUACUACUUAAGAGGGUCGUUCUCAUUUCCUUCACGUGUAUUUAUUGACGUUUGUUGUUAAAUUUGUAAUAGAAACAAAUGUAUGUCGGCCAACAAGUUAAUUUGGGUUUGCAAGCCCAAAUCUACCAAAAGCCUACACAAAAUAAACCGACAAGGUUGCAAGCCUAAAUGUAAAACUAAUAGCCCAAAUGAGUUGAAACCACAAACCAUUUUUUACAUGCUGAAAAUAAUCUUAUCUCGUUUAAGAAUUUUACAGUGGUAUAGAAUUCAAUUCUCAUAGAAGGCGAAUAUAUACGGAUUAAUUUAAAUAAAUUUAUGCCAUUGUCUAACGUUUCUUGUGGAUUUUUGUUGUGAAAAGAUUGUCAAUUGUAAAAAAAAAAAGGUUAAAAUCAUUACUUGUAAUAGAAUCGUUUCGUAAUAAUUUUUCUCUCUGAUGUAUUUCCUUAAAGAAAAAAAAAAUUGGAAUUCUGAUCAUAGAUCAGUCUUUAAAAAAAAAAGUCUAGAGAAUCUGACGGACAGUAACAUCUCCUAAUUCAAUAUGAAAUAGAAAAUGCAAUAAUUUAAUUUUGUAAAAAUUUAAAAUGAAGUCCAUUAAAAAAAAAGUCUAAAAUAAAUUCAACGGACAAGAUCUAUUAUUACUUGUGAACAGCGGUAGAUUAUGGAGCGUGCUUACACUCUCUCGACGUUUAUAAGUCACAGACUUGAAAAAACCCUAAAGCUACCAAAGUUUCCUUUUUAACUCUCUCUAUCUGUCGCUGCAACUUUUCAAGAGAUUCGUUUUUUUCUAGGGUUUUUAAUUACAGUUCAAAGUUACCAAAAACCUUGAGAGAUACUAAGAGAUUCGAAGCAUAAUAACUCUUGUUGUUGUUCCGAAGAUGCAACCAAAAACAGAGUUCGUGAAGUUCUUGAGAAAAGGUGCGUAUGGAUCAGUCGAUCUCGUCAAGUACAUCAAACGCGACGAUAACGCUUUGCCUCUUUACGCCGCCGUGAAAACCGCCGAAUGUGAAGACUACAACUCUCUCGAAAGAGAAAUUCAGAUUCUAUCCAAACUUGAAGGAUGUCGAAGGAUCGUGCAAUGCUAUGGGAAUUAUACUUUAGAAGAGGACUUCGAUGUCGGUGGAUUCCGAGUCUACAAGAUGGUUAUGGAGUACGCAGCUGCAGGGAGUUUAUUCAGUUUCAUGGACAGUUACAAAGAUAGAAAGUUACCGGAAACGAUGAUUAAAGACUUUACUCGUAUGAUUCUUCAAGGAUUAGUCUCUGUUCAUAGACUCGGUUAUGUUCAUUGCGAUCUAAAACCCGAUAAUCUACUUGUCUUUCCAUGUAGACAAUCUUACGAAUUGAAGAUUUCAGAUUUCGGGUCUUCGAGAAAAGUCGGAGAAUAUUCUGAUUGCUGGGAUGUUGAUUUGCCGUUUGUUGGAACGCCUGUUUACAUGUCGCCAGAAUCAGUCCGUAGCGGCGUGGCUGAGAAAGCCCUAGAUUUGUGGUCGUUAGGGUGCAUAGUAUUGGAGAUGUAUACCGGUGUGAUUCCAUGGUCGGAGGUUGAAUUUGAGGAUCUUGCGCCUGCUCUAUCAAAAGGUAAAGCGCCGGAGAUUCCAAAGAGUUUACCGUGUGAUGCAAGGAAGUUUCUAGAGACGUGUUUUUCAAGGAACCCUAAGGAGAGAGGAAGUGCUUCGGAUUUAUUGUCUCAUCAGUUCUUGCGUGGUGAAGUGGUCUCCGGCUUCUCGCUUCCGCCGUUGAAGUUGAAGAUUAAACUAGCACCGGAGAAACCGACGAAUGUUUCGAAGAAGCCCUUGAAGCUAAAGAUUAUCCCACCAAAGCCCCCACAGUUUAAGAAAGGUGGGAUUAAACCCUUGAAGUUGAAGAUUAUGCCUUUGAAGCCUCCAGCUUCUAGUUUCGUUUCUGUUCAAUAGUCUGUUGAAAAUUCGUAUCUGUUUCUUAGUUUAGAAUUGUAGAUCAAGUUACAUAAUGUUACCAAAAUGUAGAUCUCAAUUCACAAUGUGUGUUACACCAUUAACUAUGAAAUACAGUUUUGCUUGAAUAAUUUCGUUUCGUACACUCAUAUAUGCAGAAAAGCUCAUUCCUUUUUGAAUACCAAAUACCAUUCUUGCUUCUCUAUGCUUUGCCUAUCAUCAAUUCUUCUUUGUCUGCAACAAAGUUUGGGUCUCUAUAUGUGGGACAUUGGGAUAAUUAUUUGUAGCAGUCAAUUUGUUUGUUACAAUGCCUGAGAGAGUCCUUUAAUACCAAUAUGAGUCGUAUAUUACAAGGAUCACUACAACUUAGUUUUGUAGAGUAGAUAAAGGUUGGUACAGUUUCAUUUCAAAGGAAACCACUAAUAUAUUCUUCAAACUUCUUAACAGAAACAGAACUUUUUUUGUUAUUUACCACAAAACUCUGUCAAACAGAGCUUCUUGUUAUUUACAUACAAAAAAACAAAAGACCUUUUUAAGUAAAGCAAAAACACACCAAAACAUUUCUCCAUUAUACAUUACUUUUCAACGUUGUCCAUGUUCCCGUCUCAUAUAGUCAGGAUCAGUAGUUCCAUGCUCAUGUGUCCUCACAGGCGCAUCACCAAUCACUAUGUUCUUUGUCGUCUGUGCAAUCUCAGCUAUAGUCUCGCCGAUUGCCCCAAGCACCCCUCCCGCUCCAACCCCUUCUUCUUCAACAUAUCUCUCACUGCCUCUUCCUCCUCCGUAUUCUUCUCCAACGUCUCUCCUUGCUUCUUCGACCGUGCCUUUUGGUCCAUAUCCGAAGACAUCUUUCUCACUCCCUCUUCCGUACUCUGCCUCCCCAACAUCUCCCCUCCCUUCUCCGGGUAUUCCUUUUGCUCCAUAGCCGUAGACAUCUUUCUCACUCCCUCUUUCUUCCCCGUACUCUUCUCCAAAGUCUCUCCUUGCUCCUGAGACAAACCCUGGUUGCUUUUCUUCCUCACCUCCCUCAAAACAAAUCCAAAACACAGUUUCUUGAGUAACACGAAACACCACCAUACUACAAUGAGCUAAAACGAUCUAGCUUUACUAUUCAAGUUGUGCAAUACCUGAUGCAUCUCUUGGUCUCUGUGUUGAGCUUCCUCUUUCUUCCUCGCCGUAUACCCAACCACCGUAUCAGCAGCCACUGCAGCUUUCUCCUUAGUCAAGUCCACUGCCUUAGAUCCUACUUCCACCGCCUUAUGCCCUGCGUACCCCACAGCACCUUCCACUGUACCUGCAACCGCUUUCGUCCCUUGCACCACUUUCUCCGUGGUGAAAUGUGCCGCUGUCCACCCAACCGCAGCGGCUUUCUCAGCUGCCACUCCUGCAUAAUGUGCAGCUCCUUUUCCUCCUUCCACUGUCGUUUCUUUUAUGUACCCAGCUGCUUCACCGGCUUUCUGAACAGUAUAAUCUUUAGCUUUUGCUGUCAUUGAAGCUGCCUCUUGCCCUUUCUGAGCUGCAACAUUUCCGGCUUGUUUUCCUGUCUCUGUCAUGUAUUCUGAAGCUCUCUGAGCUUUCUCAGCUGCAACAUCUUUAGCUUCCACAGCUUUCUGAAGAGUGUAAUCUUUAGCUCUCGCAGCCUGUUCAGCCGCUGUGCUUCCUGUUUCCUUCAUAUACUCGGAAGCUCUCUGAGCUUUCUCCGCCGCAGUCUCUUUAGCUUCAACAGCUUUCUGCAGAGCAUAGUCUUUUGCUCUCGCCGCCUGUUCAGCUGUCAUAUUUCCAGCUUCUUUUCCUUUCUCUGUUGCAUACUCGGAAGCUCUCUGAGCUUUCUCACUCGUAGCACUGCCCGCUUUCUGAGCACCUUCUCCUACACUUUCCUUAGCUUGCUGUCCUUUCUCGGCUACCGUAUCUUUUACGCUACGACCACCAACACCACCUGCUGAUUCUUUACCUUCACGUUCUCUCAUCUCCUCACCUCCGGCAGCCAAAAGCUCAGCAUGUCGUGCUUUCUCCCCAUGAAAGCCAUGUACACCACUCUCUUUUUCCUCACCUCCACCACCGCCACCAACAGCCCCAACGUGAGAAACACGGACACCACUGUCCCGCCCUUUUCCCACCAUUUCUUCACCUCUUCCUCCACGAGCUUCUUGUCCACUAUGGCUCAAACUCUCCUUAGCCUUGUUAUACCUUUCCUCUGCUGCUUUUAUACUAUCCAUUGACUUCUGCUGAGCAUUGGCUCUAUACCCAUGAAUAUCCUCUAGCGACGCCUUCUCAUGCUCCUCUUUCUCAUCCUUCUUCUUCCCUGUUCCUGAAUCGCUGCUAGUAACGAAUUUUCCAACGGAGUGAGGCAUCUGAGUCCUCUUCAUCUUCGUCUCUCCCUCUCCUUCAUCAGAAACCGGCAUGUUACUCCCCUUGUCUGAGAGAGACACGAACUGUGUCCCACCACCUUCUGUUUGAUGCCUGUGUGUGUCGGAAUCUUUGCCUUUUUCGGCCAUGGACUCGAAAUGACUCGUCAUCUUUGGGACUCUGUCUUUCUCCACCUGAACUUCUCUCUCCGUCACCUUGUUUUCUCUCCUUGCUUGCUCUGACGCCAUUGUUAAUGCUAACGAUCACUUCCAAAAACACAGUUUUACUUUCAAGAUGAUAGUUUGAUAAUGCUUUUUUCUGUUUUCUUUAUCUUUGUUGAUUCUUAUCGAGCUGCUUAAGUCCUGCUUUAUAAUCAUAGAACCGAAAAGACAAAAUUUGGGCGGUCAUGAAGAUUGGAGAAAGGUGUGUGACGUGUUGAGUUUACUAUUGAAACGUGUAGGAGAGGCACGAUGACUCAGCUUGUGGGAAGAGAUCAGUUUCAAUAUUAGCGAGCCAAUAGUCUUGCUUUCCUCCACGUAUCUUUCCGUACAUGUGCACGUGGAGUCUUUCCGGUGCACUUUUGCCUCUCAUAGUCUCAUGAUUUUAUCUCUACUACGAACCAGCCGACCACUUCAUCAGAUAUGGGCUUCUUCAGGCCCGCCCACUCAUCUCUAUUAGGCCCAAUAUAUCUUACUCUAAGCCCCCAUUUAGCUUAUUACUCGGAAAAUUUCAUUAGCAUACUAAAUUCUUCAUCCUCCGUUGUAUAAUCUUUUCUUGACAUGUUUUCUCAUUUCACAGAGUCAAGUGCGUUGGUCUUAUUUAAGAGUUGUUUCAGUCAAGAAACAAACAACCAUAGUGAAAGAUAACUAAAAAUAAUUGAUUGUUGUUUUAAGUUAACUUAUACAUUGAUGAGAAAGGAAUUAAUUAAGAAGAGAAAAGAGUAGAGUAAAAGAGCAAGUUCCAAGUAUCAGGCAAACCAGGGAGACACCAAUGGCUACAGUCAUUACCAGGAUGGUUCCCACUGAAAGCAGAAGGAUGAGCAUCUUUACGAAGCUGAGACAGACCGGUUAUAUCGAGCCAAUGGACCGGUUUCUUCAAUCUCCUCAUCACUUUGUUUAGAAUCACCCAAGCCAUUGGUGUCCCUCCUGGAUACUUCCUUCCGUAAAAUGGCUGCGUUUGACUCCUACAUGAGUUCAUUGGCUCUCCCCAAUCCUUUCCCCUGCAAAACAAUAAUGGGUUUAGAUGAUUUUAUAAGUGAAGUAAUUGCUUAAUUUGACAUAACUAAACCGACUUAUAGAGAACAAUAAGAUUAGAUGAAAGGAUGUAUGUUUACUCGUAAUGAGUAGGAGACACGCCGUUGAAGAAGACUUUAGUCUUAGAAGGAUCGACGUAAGCAUUAACCCAUCGAGCCCAAGUGGUCAUUCCUUUGUAGAAAGCAACGAGCCGGUUCAUGUCUUUGUACAACCUAUUCCCAUCUUCCAUGUAAUCCCACCUGCAAAAACACACACACGUCAUCAAAUUAUUUAAGUCAAAACUCAAAAAAGACAGAACAAAAAGAAAGAAAGGAAAAACGUACGGCUGAAUGUGUUCGGUGUGUGUCCACCAAUGCCACGAGUUGAAAAUCAAAACGUCCAUGCCUCUCCACAUAUUCCCUUGCUUAAUGGAAUCAAGCUUAAGCACUCUCCCAACUUUCUCCACAUUCAAAUCUACCAAGAACUGUGUUCUGUAUAGCAACAACGUCACUCCGUAUUCCUGCAUCAGUACCCAUUACAAACCCCAAAUUUAGUUCACUAGAUAACGGAGUAUGUAAUUUAUGUACAUGUGUAUUUUUUAACUGGCCAUGUGCUUUUAUAUCUCAAAAUAUAUCAUGGGAAAACAAAAGAAAAACGAAUCUAUUCUUGUGUGGCUCAUGAUCAUAAAGGUUAUAACAUGACAUGAUAUUCUGGAAGAUUCUCUUUUUUGGGAAAUAGGCCACUAAUCACGUUCAUCUCUUAAAUGCUCUCUCAUUCUCUUGUCCUAAUACUAUUUUUAUAACACAAGUUAUAAAACUAUAUAGCAAAGCAUUAUCUUUACAUCAAAUCAAAUGAGACAAAACCAAAAACACUUUAUCCCUUUCCUUAACACUAUGCGUUAUUAAAUAUAAAUCAAGACUUUUUACCACACUUUCCACACUAUAAAGCUAAAAAAAAUCCCCACUCAAUUUCUAGUGAAAAAAUCAUAACUCAAUAAAUAUCUACUUGUUUGAGUGGGAAAAUAUCACUAGUUUUAAAUUAAUAAGAUAAAAUGAAAGAACAAACCUCAAAGGUAAGUGAAGCAAGACCCUUUUGGCGAAUAAGAGUGUAACGAGUGUUAGGAACCCAAGAGUGAAUUAGACAAGCAAGAGAUUGCCACAUGUUUGUGCUUAGUGAAUCUCCAACGAACAUUAUCUUCUUCCCUCUCAUCCUCCUCAAGAAAUACAACCCAUUGAAUCUGAAACAAAAAGAUAAACAUUUUUAACCUCAUAAAGUUACAAUUUGAACUAUAUAUAUUUACUCAAUACAAAGACACAUUGGUUUUGAGAUUCGGAUUCGAUUUAAAACCUUUUUGGAGUGUAAAAUUAUGGGAUUUCCAAGACAUUAUUGCUCAAAAGCAACUCAACAAAAGUUUCAAAUUUUGAAAUCCAAAAAGGCAAAAAAAAAAAAAAUGAGAGAGAAAAGUGAAAAGAGUCAAGAAGAGAGAAACUACUAGUACUACUAUACUACACUAUCUCGAAAUUCAAUUGUUACCUUUCUUACCAAUAUGCUUAAAUAUCUCUGUAAAUAGCAUUAAACACAACCAAACAUAACUCUCCAAAUUUCCAGCUUUCCAUAUUUAUUAAUGGGAGAAAAAAAAUGAUUUUGACUCACACAAUAGAACAGAGAAACAAAGAAAAAAAGUUCAGUUUUUUCACCAUGUGCAAUUUAUUAUUCUGUCUAAUAAAUGAAAAGAAAAGGCAAACAAAACACAAGAAAAGCUUUAGUUCUUGAAUUAAAGAAAGGAAGAAGAUAAGGAUAGAGUAAGAAGAAACCUGGGGAGAGAGCAAGAAGAUGGUUGCCAUCGAUACUUAAGGUAAGCAUUGUCAGGACGACCAUACUUCUUACAGUUAAACUGUGGAUCUAUGAAUGGACAUUUAUAAGGAUCAUAAAGUGGGUACUUUACAUCAUAAACCCAAUUCCCUCUAAACCAAUUACAUCUCCCAGAAGCUAGCUCUCUUCUUACUUCAUCAUUAUUGCUGCUUGUGCUGUUGAUGUAAGCAGAGACUGUGGAGAGACAGAGGAAGAAGAAGAAGAAGAAGAGAAAAGAAGGGUUUCCUCGGGAAGUGAAACCCAUUCUCUCUUUCUUUGCUUCUUCGAUCUGAGAUUCUCUGUUUUGUGGUGAGAGCGAGAUUGGUGUGAGAAAAGAGGUGUCUUGGACUGAUUUGUUAUAUAAUACUCCAAAGAAACUCGAAAGAGAGAUAGAGAAAGAGAGUGAGAUUGUUCACAUCACAUGGGAAGGGGGAAACAAGAAACAAGAUCCUUUAUAUGUCUUUAUUCGAUUUAUAUUAGUUAAUUUGGUACUAGGUACCUUCCAAUAUUUUACUUCUCUUGUUUUAGAAUUUUUUACUGUAGUAAAUUAGUAGUUCUUUUCGUUUCUUUAAAUUAUCUCAACAGUAAGAAAAUGUUGAAAUUUGCAACACUGUUUUUAGUUAGCUUGGUUCAAAUAAGCUGAAACCAAGACUUUGAAAAACCAACAAUGUUUAUUGGUUAAUUUCGUGUUAUCAAUAAUAAAUCAUCGUUUUUACCCAAAAACUAUCAGUCUUAUAAAAAAUACAAAAAUAUUAAAAGAUUUGCUGGUAUAAGCUCAUAAGUAAUUUGCUGGUAAAUUAUGGGUUAAUAUUUUGUGUCAAUUGCCAGCUAAUAAAUACACUUUUUCAGUAUAGAUUCAUUAUUACGAAAGAAUUAAAAGGAUGAGAAAAAAAAAACUCAUAAAAGUAGGCUUGGACGCUUGGUAGGUAAAGGAUGCAAAAAAUAGGAAAAUACAAUUUCAUAAAAUUUAGUUUGUGAGUGUCGAAAAAAAAUAUAAAAAAAAUAGUUUGUGAGAGAGAGUCUCAAGCGGGUCCAACUUUGACUUUACACCGAUUUAUACGUACGUGUAGAUUUGAGUAUACAUAAGCCCCACAAAUAGUACAAGAGUAAGAGCCAUAUAUUGUCCAAUUAUUAUUCGUAAACCUUCGAUAACUGUGUGGGUGUAAUUAUAGUUAUUAUCAUUGACAUAAUGAACCAGAAAGUGUAUAAUUCGUGUCUAAAUAAAAUUAUAUGUAAUUCGUGUCAAAAUAAAAUUAUUUGUUGUCAUUUUUUUUUAAUCAUACUUUUUUUUUUUGGAAUGAAGUUAUACUUCUUUCAUCGAAAUUUAGAUUACAGAUAUAUAAUCUAGAUCUCUCAUAUAUAUGCACUCAUGCAAUAGUGUGAAUACUAGAGAAACCCAAAAAUAUCUACAACGUCUCACCAUCAUCUUUUCGCCGGUGAUUAUGGAGAAUUUCUUCUUCUUUUUUGAUUAUGAAGAUUAAAUGUAUAAAUGAAAAUCGGUGGAUUUAUAUUAUAUUAAUUAUGAGACGUGUUGAAAAUGAAAAGUGAAAAAUGUAAAAUACUAUUUAUAAACCCUAUUAAUUAUUAAAUGUGGCCAUGUAUCCGGAUAAACAGACACUAACAAUUGAACAACUCGAUAUUUUUAAUUUUUUUAAUGCAAUGCACAAAUUUGCUUCCAUAAUGUAAAACAAAUAAGAAAUUUUCAAGACCAUAAUGCAUACUAAUACAGUAAACUUUUGUGUAACUAGAGAUCUCGUGAGCUAACAAGGAAACAAAAUAAGUUUUCAUAAUGCAUACCACACAAAGACAAAACAUUUGGAAGCCUGCAAGGUACCUCAAGUUAUGAAUAAACCACUUAUUCUCCGAUCUAACCAACACAAUAUGUCACCCGUCAAUCUAAACUAUAUAUCACUAGUUCAUGAUUCCAUAGAUCUAACCAGUUGUUUUACUUUACAUUUAAUUUUCAAAAACAUAUUUUUAUGAGUUUCCGGAUAAUAACACAUUGACUUGUACGAAUAACUAAUGUAUAUGUUAUGGCCGCUAGACAUAAGACUAUUGUAUUAUAUCUUCUUUUUCAUACAAUAUCAUGUAGCUUUUGAGUACCACAAACCACACAUCUAUAUGGUCGAAAGUCUCGACUGUGAAUCAAACAAUUUAUCAAAAAAAAAAAAUACAAGAAAAUAAGUAAGAUGAGUAUAUAAGUUAGUUAAUUGAGAUCCAAUUUCGAAGGCAACACGAAGCGAAUAAUUUAGUCAAUAACUCAAUAUAUAGAACCAAUCAAUAAUAAUCUGCUGGAGAUUGAAUUGUUCAAUAAUUGAUGAGAAGGAGAUUAUAAAAAAAAAAAAAAAUGGUCCACCCACGUUUCGCCAUUUUCAAUCUCUCAUGAUAAUCUAAAUAAGUGACAGAAACAUACUGGCGAUAGUCGUUUGUUUCUUUACACACUGAUAUACCAAUACUUUUUUGAGUACUAUACUAUUAUGAGCUGUAAAAAGAAAGCCAAUUCAUCAAGUUUACUCGUUCGUAUGAGUUUUAAUACGAUCGUUAUAUGUGUUAAACUGUUAAUUAAUACAUUAUUUGAUUUUAUUCUAACUUUUCAUACUAAAAAUGCCAAUCGUUUCGUUCGUAGACCUGAAUUUAUAAAAAAAAUUGAAAUGCUAUUAAAAAAAGUUAUGUCCCUUUAAACUUCUGAUCAGAUUUCAGCUGUACAUAUUUUGUUAUUUAUUGCUGCAAAAUUUAUACCAUUAUGACUAGUAUUGUUCUAAUAAUCGUUAUAAAUAUUUAGGCAUGAACAGUUUGAGGAUUCACAUACUUAAAUUAAUACUAGAACCAGGUUAAUUUGGGCUAUAAAGUCUCACUAAUAAAGAUUUGGGAAUUCGAAGGUCAUUAGUGAAGUGACACAAACCGGAACUUGUGAGAAUAAUGGAUUUAAGGCAGAUUUGACAAGAAAGUGUGGAAUUGAGCAAACUCAUGUCGUCAUAGGCUCAUAUACAUAUCUACAUUUGUAUUGUCCCUAUCACAAUACUUUAUGCCCCUACCUAGCAUCCGCCAUAUCAUUCAAUUCAACUCUCGACUUAAAUGAUUUCCUUAAAUAUUGAGAAAAUAAAAUAAGGAUUCUUCUUUUUGUUGGUACUAUCGCAAAUAACAGAUGGGUCCAUUUUCGUCAACGGAAGAACCAAAGAAGGCUCUAUCUGGGCCUGUAGACAUAGGAUUGAGCCCAUUUAUCCAUGGAUUAGAUUAUUAUGUCACAGAUGUUUUUAAAACUGAAUACUCAAGAUAAUGCAAGCGAGAGGAGUGUGUCUUUCAUGUUGAACAACCGCGAGAAUCGGGUCAAGAAAACGAGCCCUGUGGUUUUACGUCUUGACCUAUUAGAUCUGGUGCACAAUGGUGCUCCUAUCAACACAGACCAGAUUAGCAACUUCUCUGAUUCAGUCCAUAUAGCUAUCAAAGUAUGUGCCAGCAGAUACAGAUACUUGCGUCAGUUUAGUAACUGAGAAAACGUGGAUUUAUCAGAAGCCUUUUUAUUUUAAUUGAAUAAACUCUAGUUGUCGUGUGUGUGUGUGUGUUAAGAUAAUGAAAAUGUCUUUAUUUUGGUUCUAGACUCCUAGUCUUAGUUAAAUCGAAUCUAACUGGAUGUGUUUGAGAAUAAACCAAUCAAAUUAGUCAUUUUUGGUAUUUCUUGUUUAGAUCAAGUAUAAAAAGAUUCAUAUAGUAAUAAAGAUUUAAGGAAAAAGGAAGAAAUGGCAGAGCAUAAUGCUUAUUUUGUCUCUCGCUUUUUCGGUUUUUUUGUAUGAGGUAAGACUCAAAAUUAUUUGAAUCACAUGUUAGAGUUAGCGGCAUGUGCCAAUUUCCCACAUUUUCAUUAUUUCUCUAGUGUUAUUUCUCAUAAGAUUUUGCUGAUAGAAAAGAUAUCAUUUCACCUUUAUAUAUAUAUGUAGUAGAUGUUAAGGAAAAAAUUACGAAAAAGAGAAUAAAAGAUAAGAGAAAUUCGAUCUCAAUGGUAUGAUGGCGUGACUGAAGUAACAGAGAAAGACAAAGAACAACAUGUGUCACCAAUCAUGUUGUUUAACUCUUUCCCCCACAUUUCAUGUUCAUUUAUCCUAAAAGUCUAAAACAGCCAUUUGCCCAUUUCUAUAUCCAGGUUUUUCUUUUCUUUUCUUUUCUUUCGUUUGCGUAUUUCCAUUAAUUUCUUUUGAUAAAUUUAAAAUGUAACUAGUUCUUCUUUGAUUAUACUUGAUCGCACCAACCAAAAAAUACAUGGUAAUACAAAUUAAAGUCACAUAGUAAUAAAAAAUAUAGUGUAAAUUAUGGAGUGGCAAAAUUUCUAUCUAACUAUAACAAAAACUGUUAAUUUGGUGAUAAAAAAACACACAAAUAAUCUCGCUUACAAGUUACAACUAGAGGGUGAAUAUUACCAUUAACUCACUAUCCUCCUUUUGUAUACGUGUUUCUGCAAAUUACCAUUUUUAUUGGUUCAUUCAAACAUACAUUAUUUUUGUUAAGAGUGUGAGGCCUUGAGAGUUGAGAGACUAUAAACUUUUUUCGAUAAAAAGUAGACUUAGACUAGAUCUUAACUUUUGCACACAAAAAGAAAGGAGACUAGAUCUUAACUAAAAUAUUAUCAACAAAAUGUUUAUCUUCGGACUGGGACACAUGGAAAUGUGUAUGUUUUUGCAGGCAUAUAUUUGGUCGUUUAAGUCUUCAUUUCAACUAGAUGAAACAAAAGCAGAAACAUAUGAGGAAUACCAAAGAUUUUUUCUCUACUGGAAACGACAAAAGGUUCAUAUUAUCAUAUAUAGAGUAUUGGAAAAUGUUAGCUCUUGUGAUUACUAAUUAGUCGUAAGGUAUUAAGAAUACAUAUUGCCAACAGUGAACUGAAGAAACUAGUGAACCCACACAAAAAAAAUAUAGUUCAACUUUUCUUUUGUUAAAAAGUUUCAAACGUUAUUUUCUAGUUUUAAAACGUCAUUUACCAAACUCUACAUAAUUGCAUUAAAUCAAAAGGUAUGCGUAUAGUUUUACCCUUACCCUUCAAAAUUUGAGACAUGGUGCAUGUGGAAUGUUUUGCACAGCACACAUACACUCCCUCAUUUACGAAAAGUUCAUCAAUUAUUUUCUAUUUUAUUUUAAAACAUUUUCAAAGAAAACAAGUAACAUACUUACAAAUAAAUAUAUUAGUUUUACUCCCUUUUAUUAGAAAAUUAAGUUUUGUAACUAAAAGUGAUGGUAUUUUGAUAACAGAUUAUAAAGAAAUCUCAAAUUUAUUAAGCUUUUUCCAAUAAUAGCUACUACGAUUAUUUAUCUUACUAGCUAGUACUAUUAAAAAAAAAAAUCUCUUAAUUAGUACAUGAAUAGGUAUUCCAAUAUACCUUUAGAUUUCAAUUAUGUAUUGUUUUAAAUUUUAAAGAGUGGUAAUAUGAAAUAAAUUAAAUUGUUGAUGGAGAUGAUGAUGAAGGUAAAGAAGAUUCAUAUCAUAUCAGCAUAUGCUCACAUGAUAGAGCAUCUAACCUCAGGUGGCAACAAAUAACAUCAUGGCAAUAUAUAAUUGAUCUAUUAAAUUUAGUUAUACAUACGGAUAUGAUCAAUUAUCCAAACAUGCAGCUGUUUUUCUAAUUUUAAAGAUAUUUCUUUUCUCAAACUACAUGAGUCUACAGUUCUUAUAACUUGGCUUCUAUAUAUAAUCUGAAAGCCAUCAUCAUACAUCCAUUGGCCAAAGACUAGACCAAAAGUAUUACCACCAACGUUUUUGGUCACGUACCAGUUUUAGAAUUUAGAUGAACUAUUUCACUCUAAAGCAAAGUACUUGUUUACUUUAGAAAAUUAGAGUAAACGAAUGUUAACUUAAAAAAAUUUCGGGUUGACAAAAAUAAAAUGCGAGUUGGACGGUAAUGCGAUCUACAUAUAUUCUUUGCUUGGACUGACAUUAUGAUCUUAAUAAUUUGUAAAUAAAAAUUAAAAUAAUAUUGAUGAAACAUAGGAUACCCUUAACUAAGAAUCAUAGUGGUUAAGACAAGCGUGGAUUAGCUUUUAGUAAACUGAUUAAUCGAAUAAUAAAGAAAACCAGAUAAUUUUCUUACGUUUUUGUAUAUAUAAUCAAGAAUCAUGGAGAUACACAUAGAUAAGAAAGAUUAUAGCACGAACACGAAUGCAUGUAUUAGGCAAUAAAAAUAUCGUUAGUUAGAAAACAGUACAUAUAUAAAUAAUUCGUGUAGUAUUUUGACUAAGGAAUUGUCUUAAUAGAAUUAAGCAGUUACAAAGUUUUAUUUACACAAAUAUUUUUUCCUCUCGGCACACCUUGAAUCAAAUCAAGCAUCGUUUAAAUUAAAUUACUGUAAUGGAUUAGAUAAGUACUAGUAAUAAGUAAAGUAUGUUUGCCGACGGGUGAAAUUGUAAAAAAGAUUGGAUACUUUCUUUUGUUUGAUAUGAAACUCGAAUCUCGUGAUUAAAAAGAUGGCCCGACAGUGAUUUAAUGAGAGUCAACAAAAAAGAUGUAAAACACAUUAUUAGCAACUAAUUGUACUUUAUUUUUAUAAUUUUCACACGUUUCCUCUUUUGUCUAUUUUGAUUGGGGUCAUUCAUGCUCAAACAUUACAGCCUGCGCAUUGUAUUAUGUUUUGUAUGUCUCCGGCGGAACAAACAAUGUGACAUGCGUUUGAAUAAUCAGUCUAAUUGUAUGAUUGGUGUGUUCAUUCGCUAUUAAUGCAAAUGGUGUCCAAAUUAUUAAAUUUUGAGUUAAAUCCGUGGAGAAAUAAUAUUCCUUUCAUUUUAAAGCAAGUGUCGUUUUAGACUGAUUUUUUUUAUUUAUGUCGUUUAUGAAUUAAGAUAAUAAAGAAGUAUUAAUAAAAAUGUGAGACAUAAAUAUAUAAUUCUGAAAGCCAAUCUUAUCUUCAAAUGCACAUUUCACUUAUACGUAUUCAGUAUUCUGCCAUUCAACAAACCCAUAAUUUAUUUUGUCUAUGGUAAAAAAAACGCAUAUAGUCAGUCAUAUUAGAAUUAUUUUACGAAUGUAAUUUUUAUUGCUACUUAUCAUGUAUGCUUAAGUGAAAAUAGUGAGUCACUAUCGUCAUUCGUCACCCAUCUCAUGCUUGGCGUUGGCGGGCUCGAGGUCAGUUUUCGAAUAAUCCGUCGGUGUUAACAGAAUAAUCCGUUAUUGAAAAACUAAACGCCGUUAACGGAAACUGUGUGCUUAGCUGGCAGACACAGCAGAGAAGUCAAUAACCAGCUGGCAUGAUCACCGUUUUGCAAUUAUCCCCAUAAUUACCGCAACACCCUUCUAUUUUUUUAUCCUUUUUUUUCUUUAAUUAGUAUUUACUAUUUAUUAUCGUUAUGUUCUUAAUUAUCCUAUUAUUGUUUUAAAUAUUUUUAUAUAGCGAAAUAAUUUAUUUAAGAAAAAGUCAAGAGAAAAUUAAUUGACUAUAUAUGGAAAAUAAUUUGAGGGUGCGAGGCAUGACCUAGCUAGAGAAAAAUAAAAUAAAAUGAAGGCAUGCAUGGUGCUUGGUUCAAUGUAAUUAGUGGUUCCGUAGGUCUGAACGGUACGGACUGGCCAUGAUCUACUAGAAACAGUAAAUAGUUAAUACAAAGUAAUUAAUUAUGAGUUUCAGCAAAUUAACUACUCUAUAUCGAAUGAAUUAAACAGUAAUCCCCAGAAAAGAAAAAAAGAGAACUAUGACAGCCUUUUCAAAGGACACCCGAAAACCAAAAUGAAGAUUUUAAAAAUGCCAGCUCUGCAAUAGAUAUUGAACUUUCAUUUGUAAUUUUCUUUAUUUUUGUUGCAUUACACACAUUUGUUAUUUACAUUUAAAUUGGCUAUUGCAAUAAAAGAUUACUUUAUAUGCUUAUAAUAGUACAAUAUAUAUGGUGGCUUAAACAAAAGUUUGGCUGGCUUGAUAAAUACAUCUUACAUCGAAUGACGAUUUUACCCUCUAUCUUGCUGUCUCUGAGUACGAGGGUUGAAAUCCUUACGUGGCAUUUUUUCUCAUUUUUCUUGGUCAAAUAGUUUAACCAAACUCCAAAAGUCUGUGAUUUGUUGACAUACUUCUAACUAAUUUUUUUUUAUAAUAAAAAUCUAUUGUAUCUGUAGAAAUAAUCAUUAGAUUUACUUUCUAGAAUAUAACUUCUUAUUUCUUAGUAAUUUGUCCAGAUUUUUUUUUACAACUAACUAAACACUAGUUAAAAUGUUAAUGUCUAAAAAAUACCAUUACAAUUAUUCAAUUUAAUAAAAAUUGAGUCGGCCAAUUUAAUGCGAGACUUCUGUACAACGACCCUAAAAGUGGGUUUGAUAAAUGAAACAUAUUGCAACAAAAAAAUACUAGUAAUAAUGAUAAAAUAGUAACAUGUCGUGGCGCAUUGAAUAUCCUACGAAGGUUUAGUGUUUACUUUUAAAAAAUCCUAAUAUGAUACUAGUACAUAUAGCUAGCUUGCCUUGCUUAUGCUAUUGCAUAGUCUGUAUUAAUAAAUGAUGUUAUACAUUUCGAUAGAGUAACAUUUUGGGAACAUGAGUGAACGUGCUUGAAUCUUCGUGCCCUUGACGUCAGAAGCUAGUAAUUUUAAAUACUAAUUAACAUUCAUACAAAUUAACAGAUACAAUGUACUAUAUCAUAAUUCGUUUCCGUAACACAACGCAACAAUUUGAAAGUAGAUGUACUUUAGUACUUAGUUAGUGUGCACCAAAAAAAAAAGAUGUAGUUAGUUAGUAAGGGGUUAAAUGUUUUAAUUUAUUAAGAAAACUUAAAUUCAUUAAAUGUUAGAAAAAGUCUAAUUAGUUUAUAUUCGAACACUGUGCUCAAAAUUAAAAAGUCAACUAUUUUAGACUAUAGAGUUUAUUAAUUAAUAAUAAAUUCGAUAAAUCACCGUAUUAUUUUCUUCAACGACAAGUAGCCGUGAAGACACGGGAGCGAAGAGAGAUAAACAGAAGAUGAAGAAGAAGAUCAAUGUCAUAAUCUUCAGGGAGAUAAAUCCGUAAUCUUUAUUAAUCAAGGUUAAUCCUUUUUUUUUUCUUCAUCUUAAUUCUUUGCGUCUUCCUUUUCUAUUUAUCACGAGAUCUGUCUUUCUUUUUCCUCUUCUUUCUCUCUCUUCUCUCUGAAGACAGUACUUGUUUCUGUCCGGCGUUAAAAGCUUCGGUGGUGGUCUCUUGACUUCUCUGAGAAGAAGAAAAGGAAGCUGAGUCUCAUUUUAGAUUCAGCUCACGAGGAAGUGACGACGAUGUCUCAUUCUAGAAGACUUUCGUUGGAACCUGCUAUAGAUUCAAUCACUGGUCGAUUUCGUGAUUUACAGAGAAAUGAUGAUGACGUCAACAAACCUGAUUUUCGAGAACUCGAUCUAGGUUCUCCUGUUUCUACCUUAAUGCCACGUGGCUCUGCUUCUUCUUCCGCUGCUGCGACUCCUACUAGCAGCUCUGGCUCUUCUGGCUCUGCUUCUGGUAAACCGUCGGUGAGUUCUCAGAUGGCUAAACGGUUAGAUGAUGCUUACAAGAGUCAUUCCGGUGAGCUUUCUAGCCCCGGAUCCGGAAUGCCGACCACGACCCGGAUUCUUAAACCGGGUCAUAGAAGAUCUUCUUCUACUGGCACGCCUUUGAUCUUCUCUGGCUCUAGCUUUACUUCAGCAACGAGUCACACCUCGCCACAAGGAGGUGGUAGCGGUGCUACGUCGGCAGUGUCUCCCAAUACUGGCGUUUUACCGGCGGGAAAUAUUUGUCCGUCGGGUCGGAUCUUGAAAACUGGAAUGGCGUCUCGGACUUCAAGUAGGACUGAGACUCUAUGCACAGGAACUGGUAAUUACGGACAUGGAAACGUUGUACGCAGCGGCGGAGGAGGAGGAACCAGCGGAAAGGCGGUGAGAGUGGCGGAGAAUGGCGAAAACCCGGAGGAGUUGAAGAGAAUGGGGAAUGAUAUGUAUAGGAGAGGGAGUUUCUCUGAAGCUCUGUCGCUUUAUGACAGAGCAAUUUUGAUUUCACCGGGAAAUGCAGCUUACAGAAGCAACCGUGCCGCGGCUUUAACGGCAUUGAGGCGGUUAGGAGAAGCCGUUAAAGAAUGUCUUGAAGCUGUUAGGAUUGAUCCUUCUUACUCCAGAGCUCACCAAAGACUUGCUUCUCUCUAUCUCAGGUAAUCUUGAGAGGCUUUUUGUUUUGUUGCUGUGUUUUUAGUUUAAAGAUUGAGAAUUUGAAAUGAUGGAGUGAAUUGUUGCUUUAGAUUGGGUGAAGCUGAGAAUGCAAGACGUCACAUUUGUUUUUCUGGUCAAUGUCCGGAUCAAGCUGAUCUCCAACGGCUACAGACGCUGGAGAAGCAUCUCCGACGAUGCUGGGAGGCUCGAAAGAUUGGAGAUUGGAAAACCGCGAUUAAGGAAACCGAUGCAGCCAUUGCAAACGGCGCUGAUUCGUCUCCUCAGGUGAUUACAUAUCAUUGUCGUAUGAUAUGCUUGUAAAGAUUUUUGACUAACAGUGAGGUUUUUUCUAUUGGUUUGGACAGCUUGUAGCUUGUAAAGCAGAAGCCUUUUUGCGUCUUAAGCAAAUAGAGGAUUCGGAUUUUUGUGUAUCUUGCAUUCCAAGAUUGGAUCAUCAUUACCAUUCUCAACCGCAGGUGAAACUCUUUGGUAUGGUAGUUGAAGCUUAUGUGCUCUGUAUCCAAGCUCAAGUUGAUAUGGCAUUAGGAAGGUGAGCUUUCGAAACUCAGAAAUGUUGUGAUUCUUUGGAUUUUUGUUUCUCCACCGGUGAGUGAGUAGAUAUGAUAGGUUUGUUGCAGAUUUGAGAAUGCGGUUGUCAAGGCAGAGAGAGCUGCGAUGCUUGAUCAAACCAAUCCUGAGGUUGUAUCAGUUUUAAACAAUGUGAAGAUGGUUGUGCGGGCACGUACUCGUGGUAAUGAGCUAUUUAGUUCGGGGAGAUUCUCGGAAGCGUGUGUAGCUUAUGGAGACGGUCUCAAGCAAGAUGACUCCAAUUCGGUUUUGUACUGCAACAGAGCAGCGUGUUGGUAUAAGCUCGGUUUGUGGGAGAAAUCUGUUGAAGAUUGUAACCAUGCGCUCAAAAGCCAGCCUAGUUACAUCAAGGCACUUCUACGUAGGGCUGCUUCAUAUGGAAAGGUGAGAUUAGAACUUACUAUAAUCAGUUAUUGACAGAAUUUUGCAGUGUAUUCGAAUGACAAUGUGUGUUGAAAUAUAUAGCUUGGUAGGUGGGAGGAUGCGGUUAAAGAUUAUGAGUUCUUGAGAAGAGAACUUCCAGGAGACAGUGAAGUUGCAGAGUCUCUAGAGAGAGCGAAAACAGUGCUAAUGAACAGAAGCCAAGAAUCUAAAAGCCUAGGUUUCAAUAAUGAAGUUGAAGCGGUUUCGACUUUGGAUAAGUUCAAGAAAUCCGUAGCACUUCCCGGUAAGUCUAAUGAGAAACUUCAAUUUGUCUCAAAAGGUUGAGAUUUUGCGUGUCUUGCUCAAGUUGGAAACAUUUCUCUUCAGGUGUCUCUGUAUUUCAUUUCAAAUCAUCAUCAAACCGACAAUGCGAAGAAAUUUCUCCAUUCAUCAACACUUUAUGUCUUCGGUAUCCAUUAGUACAUUUCUUUAUGGUAAGAACAAGAACACAUUCCAAAUAUGCUUUUUAUAUCACAUUUUCUUCUAAACUUAUAUGUAUAACCUAUGUUUCUCAAUGUGUUAACUGAGAAAAUGAAAUGUUAUUAGGUGGAUGUGGAGGAGAGCAUGGCGUUGGCGAAAGCAGAGAGUAUCAGGAAAGUUCCGACAUUUAAGAUGUACAAGAAUGGAGAUAAAGUGAAGGAGAUGGUUUGUCCUAGCCAUCAGUUUCUAGAGGACUCUAUAAAGCAUUUCCUCUUAUGAUUGAAAAAGCCCUAUCAUCAUUAUCUGCUUCCCUAUGAUUCGAUCCGAAUAGCCUAUUUAAAAGACUCAGAAAGCAUUCUAUGUGAAAGAUGGGAAAGAGCUCUUCUGUCAAAUUCAACAAACUAUUCAUUCUUUCUUCUUAUUCGAUUCUAAUUCUUCUUUAUUUAUUUUUUGGAGUUUGGCUCUGCUUGCUUUGGCAUAUUACGUAUGGGUAAAUGUUCGCAAUGAUUCAAGAAAUGCAAGCUUCAUUAUCUAUUUACGCUUGGCUUGUGUAUGCUAGAUUAUUCACCACACCAGUGAAAGAAACUGAACAGAGUUUACUGUAUUUGGUGUUGUUGAUUCAAUCAGUGACAGAAUAUGAAUCAGAGAGUACCGAAUCCAAUCAGCUUCUAUCUCAGCAAUUCAGAAAUGAAGGAAUAUAAGUUUCAAGAUUGGAUCCAUAAGGAUAGAUAGUAAGACGACAGUAGUGAAUUACAAAUAAGAGUGUCCUGAGACAGGCAUGCAAUACAUUCAAACCAGAGAGACAUUUAGGGCUAAACCAGAGUACAAGUAACAUAGACAAUCAUGAUAUAGGGAACAGAGAAACUCUACUUUUCACUAUUAUUCACCGCACAUUCAGUUCUUGAAACAUAUUGUCCAGGUGCACACAUAUCAUAUCACUGCAACAUAAGCAAAGAAAUCUUGAAUCAAAAUCGGCUUAUUUUAAUUUGAUUUACCCCGAGUAAAGGAAUCUCUUAUACUUACCUCUGCAUCGUCUCCACCAGCACCAGGUUUGGCAGAACCAUUCGUCUUAUGAGCAUCGUCUCCUGCACACAAAUGCAAAAUUAACAGUUGAAGUCCAAGUGAAAAUAUAUAUUGAUAAAAACUGGCAAUCGUCUUCCAGAUGCUAUUUCAACUAUCUAUCAUCAAGAAUGUCCAUGGAUAUGCUUAAAUUGUCUUAUAGAUUCAUUGGUUUCAAGUAAAUCAACACUACACAUAAGAAAUGACAAUGAACAAAUACACCUAGAAUGGAAAAACACCAAAGAGCAAUUGUGUAAGACAUCAAAACAUCAUAUUUAAAGAGUGUGCUUAGGUCCAGAGUGAUGAUCAUUACCUCCUUCUUCUGAGAUGUCAGAAGUCCACAAGGUCAGAUUGUCCCUAAGGAGUUGCAUUAUUAAGGUGCUAUCUUUGUAGGAUUCCUCGUUCAGAGUGUCAAGCUCUGAGAUAGCUUCAUCGAACGCCUGCUUAGCAAGGUGACAUGCCCUGAAGAGAAAAGAGCAAGAAAAAAAAAUCUCAAAUCUCCAAAACAAUGAGUCUUUUUUCUUAUCUUAGUAGUAUAAUUAACAAUCUGUAAACCUUUCAGGUGCGUUCAUGAUCUCGUAGUAGAAGACAGAGAAAUUCAAAGCCAAACCCAAUCUGAUAGGGUGUGUUGGAGGGAGCUUAGCCUCAGCAGCAGUAGUAGCAAUCUGUAAAGGAAAGAAACAAACAAAAACUCAAAAGUAAAGUAACGAAAAACCAAGAAUGUCCAGUGAUCAAUAACACUACAAAUCACUAUAAGAACACCUCAUAGGCUUUCAAAGACUGAUCAGCAGCCUCUUUCCUCUCGUUCCCUGAUUUGAACUCAGCAAGAUAGCGGUAAUAGUCACCUUUCCUACAAAAACCAAAACAAAAUCUUCAGACACACAACCUUAAGUUAAACACCAUGUAAAGAAGCAUUAUAGAGCUUACAUCUUGUUGAAGAAGACAGUAGAUUCACCCUCGGAAGCCGAAGGAAUGAGAUGCUCAUCUAAGACAGACAUAAUAUCAAUGCAUAUGUUAGAAAGCUCUAACUCAACCUUCUCCAUAUACUCUUUGAUCCUCUUUACAUUAACAUCAUUCCCUUUCACUGCUUCCUUUUGUUCAAUCGACGAGAAGAUCCUCCACGAAGCUCUCCUUGAACCAAUCACGUUCUUGUAACCCACAGAGAGUAAGUUCCUCUCUUCCACCGUCAGAUCAACAUUCAAUUUCGCAACACUUUUCAUUGAUUCCACCAUUUCUGUGAAAAAAAGAAUUCACAUUUUUCAAUACCCAUCUGCUAAAAAUCAAGACUUUUGAAUCUAAUUCCUUGAUAAGAAGUUCCCCAUUCGUAAACUCUCAAUCAAACCAAACGAUUGAAACCCGUUCGAUGAUAUCAAAGUCCAGUAAAAUCAAACAGAAAUCGAGCUCAAGAAGCUAUCAAAAAGACCUGAUUCGAGUGAGAAGAAGAAGAAGAAGAUUCCUUACCUUCAUAACGCUCAGCUUGCUCAGAGAGCUUAGCGAGGUAGACGAAAGUGUCACGCUCUUUUCCAGAACCCAUGACUGAUUUUCAAGAUUCUCGAAAAAUCAAAAGUAUCAAAUUCCAAAGCUUUUGACGACUGAUCCGAGUAUGUAUAUCUCUCGGCGAACGCUGUUCUUUUGUUUUAUUUUUUCUCCAGAGAAGAGAGAGAUCUUUGAGACGCGCGUAGGGACACAAGCGUAAUUAACGCGGGUUAAACGGGGUAAUUACUACUCAAUGGUCUGUGUCAGUAAGUGAUUUUAUUCAUUAUAUUAUUCCUCGUGGGAUCCAUUUGGUUCUUCUCUGUCUAACCAUAUCAUGACAUGUCAUCACUCUCUAUCCACCAGUCCACUCAUUUUAAUUGUACUUUAUCUUCUCAGCACAAUUUUAUAUUUUAUUCAAAUAAUGGACUAUAUAACAUUAGAAGGAAUUAAUCUUCAUUAGGGAAUAACUAAGGAACUGUUUUUCCAAAAAAAAUGAAUUUAAUGACAUACCUAUUUUGUCCAAAUUUUCGUGUUUAAAAUUUAGAGUUUAUUUUUUGGAUUUAAGUGUUUAAUUUUUGGAGUUUAUAUAUUACGAAUGGUAAUUUCAACAUCUUAGAACGAAAAGAAAGAUUUCUUUUCUUGUUUCUUUCAGAAAUAUAUUUCCUAGAUAUGGUAACAUAACAACAAUAGAAUAACACAAGAAAUUAUCAUACUCAUUAAAAAGCGUACGGGAUAGGAGUUGGAGAGAUUUCAUCACAUCAUAGAACAUAAUACAUUACAUAGCGUAGAUUUAGGGAAUGGUACAAGAACGUUUUAAACUGCCUUAACCGGUGUUUUGCAUACCAGCAGCGAUACCCUUCAUGGUGAGGAUAACCGUAUCUUCAAGUCCCGGUGCGUAUUCACUCUUUGGAUUCAGUUUCACGAGCUCAGCCGCUGGACUAGACUCCAUGUAGUCCUUAGAGAGAUGUGGCCGGACUUUGACGUGGAAGCUUGGGUCACGGAUCUGCUUGAGUGUAUAGGCUUGACACACGUUCAAUGUCGUGAUGUAUGGGUCACGAAGCUGCAGCCUUUGCCUCAAGUAAGGGUCACCUUCUAAAAUGUCUUUGUGACCUGCAACCUGGAAAGGUACGAAACGCACGGGUUAAGUUAGCUUGUAUGGUCUGACACCGCAUGGAAACCGGAUGGGACAUCUAUAAUGUGGUUAUAGUGGAAGUAAGUAAUACCUGGAGGAGGAGGCGUCUGGUCUCUUGGUAGUUAACUCGAAGUUGUUCACCGAAUGGUUGAAGUUCUUCAGAGACGAGGAGGCGGUCAUACAGAGCCGCAAUUCCGGGAUCUCCUUUGGCGAAAACCAUUUCGACUAGAUCAAUUGUGACACGGAAGAAUGGCCAUUGGUUGUACAUCUCUUUGAGCAUGUUGAGAUUCUUACUGUCCUUCUGUAUCACGCGUUUGAAUGCUCCUCCAAAGCCAAGCCACACGGGUAAGUGAAACCUCGUCUGAGUCCACGCAAAGAUCCACGGGAUUGCACGCAGCGACUCGAUUCCUCCGCUUGGUUUACGUUUUGAUGGUCGGCUUCCUAUGUUCAUCCUUCCAUACUCGAGCUCUGGUGUUGCCUAUAAUACAAACCCAAACCUGAACUUAGACUCUCUUUUUUAACUACAAUUUGUUUAAGAGAGGAGUAAUUGAGCUGGUUAAGAACUUACCAGACGGAAGUACUCAACAAAACGGGGCUCCUUGAAGACAACAGAACGGUAUUCUUCAGUGGCAAUUAUAGCCAUUUCAUCCAUGAGGACACGCCACUCAGGCUUAGGGGAAACCGGUGGAUGCAUUCCAUGCUCAAGUGUUGCAGCUGUGAAACGCUGAAGAGUCCUAAAGCAUAAGUGCUCUUCUCCGAAAGACUGUUCAAUAACUUCACCUUGAACCGUUACCCUCAAUUGCCCAUGAAUGGUAUCCGGAGGCUGAGACAAAAUAGCAAGAUGGGUAGGUCCACCUCCUCGUCCAACGGUCCCACCUCUUCCGUGGAACAUUGUCAGCUUGACUCCGUAUUCUUUUGCCACCUUCACGAGCUCUUCUUGAGUCUUGUAUAACUGCCAAGCCGCUGAUAAACGACCAGCAUCUUUGCCCGAGUCAGAGUACCCGAUCAUGACUUCUUGCUUUCCAUUGAUCCUGUUUCUGUACCAUUCUAUGGAGAAGAGACGGGCAACUGCAGCAGGUGCGGAUUCUAAAUCCGCUAGCUUCUCGAACAACGGGACAACUCUCAGAGGAUCAGUGAUCCCGCAUUCGCGUUGCAAAAGCUCAACAGCGAGCACGUCUGAUGGAGCAGUGGCCAUUGAGAUAAUAUAAGCACCAAAACUAUCCGAAGGAAGCUCAGAAAUGACUUUGAAAGUGUCCAACACAUCUGCAACCUCUUCGGUUUUGGGAAGAUCCGGUCCAAAGAGAGGGCGUUUCCCGCUUAGCUCAGAUAACAGCCAUUCCUGUCUUUUAUCCUCCGACCAUUCUUUGUAAGAACCAAUACCUAAGUGCGUCGUGAUGGCAUCCAAGACAUCAGAGUGUCUUUCAGAUUCUUGACGGAUAUCAAGUUUCACAAGAGCAAGGCCAAAUGUUGACACUUGGCGUAAGAAAUCAAGCAGGCUUCCAUCAGCAAUAGGUCUGUCACCGCAAUCACAGAGCGACCUGUAACAAAGCUCAAGUGGCUCCAAAAACUUUGGAUAGAAACAGAAACAAUCAAAGGUUAGAAAAUUAUAAAAUCAAUCAAACAAGAAACAAACAACAGCUUUGAUCUUAGAGUGGUUCAAUCCAUAUUUUGGUUCUCUUUUGGUUUGGGAUUUUCAAAUUUAGAAAAAUAGUUACCAAAUAAACUAUGCAUCAGUAUGGUAUAGCUUCCAUGUUUAAUCAAAUACGAUUCUAAUUUUCAAAGGAAUUGAAGUUGCAGUUAUAUGGCUUAAACAUCUCUAGUUGAUCUGCAAACAGCACGAAAACACACCUGAUCCACACUUGUGAAAACCGCGUCUUCGGGAACGUCCGAAACUCCGCUUGACAAUAACUGACGUGCACGCUCACGUGUGUUGUACAGCUUGUCCCUCACAUCUCCAAGAAUAGCUCGGUAUGGCUCAUUCGCAGGGAUUUGUUUCCAGAAUUCUACAUCCAUCCAAAAAUCGAUCAUACAUCAAACAUAAUAUAACAAACUGUUAACAUGUCGGACACAUAAAAAAAUGUCAAGAAUGUAACACACACCUAUAUAGUGUUUUGCAUCCCUCUUCGCACAUCUUUGACGUUCUGCACGAACCCGAAGUUCCUCAUUGCAACGCCACAUAGACAUCUGCAAACAAACACAUCAAACCAAAAAAAAUAAGAUCUCUGUCCUUAACAUUAACCAAUAAACUAAAUUGCUGUGAUGUGAAUAAAAUUUUUGCUACCUCAAACAUAAGAUCUUCUAUCUGGGAGAAGUAGAGAUUAGCAGCCAUCAUUCUAGCUAAUAAGCAUACAUCUCUUGUAACUUCAGGAGUUACUCGCGGGUUUCCUAGAUUCAGAAAAUGUUUUCACUCAUAAGAACCAAUUCAUGUUUUAAUGGUUUGAGAUAAGAAAGAAGCAAGAGUGUACCAUCACGGUCUCCGCCCAUCCAAGAAGAGAACUGAAUGAGAGGCGCAUUGUAAGGAACACGCUCGUUGAUUCCAAUGUUCUUUAAAGCUGUGUCAACACGUCUUAAGAACUUUGGAACUCCUUUCCAGAUUGUCUCAUGGAAGUAGCUCAUCCCUGCUCUCAUUUCAUCUUGCGGUGUAGGAGGAGUUCUUCGGAUUUCAUCUGUGCGAAAAGCAGCUUGAAUCUGGUGCAACAAAAACAGAGUUUUAGUAGAAUUCAUGCAAAAGAAGCUUUAUUGAGUUCUUUAGUUUCGCUUACCUCUCGUUGCAGAGCUUCAUCGAGUUCUUGUUUGUCAUCAGGAGUAAUGUCCUUUGCAUAUAACUGCGUCAAACAAUCACGAAUCCUGAAAACAUUUGAGACAAAAAAAUACAUCAGUCAAGUCACACACACAAGGAAUCCAAAAUGUCAAGACACUAAAAAAGUUAAACAAACCUUCCAAACUUUUGGAGCAAAGACCGACGAACAGAUUGAGUGGGAUGAGCAGUUAAAACCAAGUCAACAGUCUGAUUCUUAAGAGCAUCAAAGACCUCUUCAGGAGUCUUGUUAAGCUGCAAAAGCCUCUUGAGAGUCUCUUCAAUGUCAGAUUCCGUUGUUGCAGAGGCCUCAUCAGCGAAAUCACCUUUCUUGAGUUUCUUAAUCCUACGCCGGUAAGCAAUCUGGACUUCCUCAGCCAGAUUAGCCAAGCUAAGCAUGUUGGAGAAUGAUUUAGUGACAACAAUUGAAUCCCCUGGAUCCAAACUCGUCAGCAUAUUUCCAAGCUCCUCAAGCUUCUCAGUGUUGCGGUUUCCAUCGUAAUCAGCUGCAACUUCGUAGCAUUCUUGAACCUUUUAGACAAAACAAAAGACAUUAUAUGAUUCAGUAAACUGAAAAUCAUCAGAAACAAUCACAGAUGCAAACUCAAUGAGCCACUGAAGCAAACAAAUAUACUCACAAACCCAACAAAAACAGAGAAUAACAUGAACAAUCUUAACACAGUGUGAUCUGAUCUGCUCGAUAUCACUGAAAAGGAUUCAACUUUAUGGAUAAUCUAAGCAGAAACAACAAACCCACAUGAUGAUUCACUGAUGGGUAACCCACUAUGUAACUAAAAGUUCAAAAUUUUAGCAAAAAUCCAGUAUUUAAGAAAGAAGAAAGAGUGAGAAAAGGAGGAAAACAUACGAAUUCUCUGACAUCCUCGCCAUGCAAAUCCUGAAGAAUAUCGAGAAAUCGAUCCAGUAACAGAGCAUCGUACUCGAUAAGCUUGUCGUCUUCAGAAACCUUGCCAGGAGCAAGAAGCCUGAGCUGAGCAUCAAUAGAAGCCAUCUUCUCCAAAUUUCUCGCAGCCAUGGUUUGGUUGAUGCUUUUUCCUCUCUCUCUAUCUGAUUAAAAACGCUUUUGGUUAAGUGAGGGAGAGAUUCUCAAUAAUUUUCCAGAUUGACCACAAUCGGAGAAAAUCAAGGAAAUAUAUCCGAUAAAGCUGGAACAAAAAAAACAAAAAAGAUUCACUUUAAGAUAAAAUUAUGGAGUUUAUAAAAAUUUAAACGAGACAAAAAAAAAAAGAAGGAGUGGCGUAUUACUGGAGUGGGAAGUGUAGUAUUCUCGUGAUACCGAAAAACAGGUGAAAAAAAAGAAAAGAAGAUCGAGAAGUUUCGUUCACGAGGAAGACGAUGGAAAGAGAAGCGACAGGCUAAAAAAGUUUCAAAGGAUUUUUUGGUUUUUCUUUUUAAAAAAAUAUAAGAAGCGAAAAUUUUCUAGUCCAUUCGAUGUGUAGUUGUAACUUAUUUAUAGCCGAAAUCUUUUUUUCUCUCUUAGACUUUAAUCAAAUUUUAGAAAAUUAGUUAAAUUCGUAUUUUCACUCCAAAGAUUACUAAUGGGCAGUAAAAAGGGACUGAGUCAAGUCUUUGCCAACAGAAAAAUAUAGUCUUAAUGAUUUUUCGUUGCAGAAAAAUAUUUCCCAUAAACAUAAGCAAAAACUUGUAAAUUAGGAAGUUUUUUGAAUGUUGUAACUUGUACGUCGUCAUACGAAAAUGGACCAAGCUUGCAUGUGUACGGUUCUGAUGACUUUUAAGUGGACCAAUGAGUCCACUGUCCACCAAUUCGACUUUUCAUUUUUCCCUUUUUUUGACUUCUUUUAAUAUUUCACGAAACUGAAUAUCAUAUCUUGUUUUUUUGUUUAAUUUUAUCUUAAUGCAUUUGUACGAAAAAGCAUCUAACAAAAAUAUGAAAAGCUUAUACAGAUGAUUAGAUGCCAUAUAUUAUCGAAUAUGCCAAAGGAUAUGCUUUCUUUGCUUCAUAUGAAUUAUCUCCUAAAUGGUGAGGCAAAGCAAUAUAUAGCUUCUCUUCUCCUUUAAUUUUAAACUUGUAUAUUUACUUCCAGAGAAAAAAACAUUGAUUUAGUAUAUUUACUUUACUUUUUUUUUUUUUUAACAGUGAUUCAGUUUUAACUAUGGGAGAGUUAGUUUCCUUUUGAAUUAUCAAUCCAAGUAGAAGAAUUGUUGUUAAAAAAUGGGUUCAAGUGAAAACUACGAAGGAAAUUUUCCAAAAGUUGUGGAAGGAGCCAGAAAUAUAUAAUUCGGCUUUUUGACCUUUGACUUAAAACGUACCACGUCUAUUACGGUCUCUUAUCAUAUAGUUUUUUUCUUUUUUAAACUAGUAUUUGUUUUCGCUAAUUGAUUCUCGAAUCUAAGAAUAAAUAGCCAACCAAAGAUUCCAACGGGUGGAAAUAGAAUCAUAUAAAGUCCUUAUCUUAUCAAUUUAUUUUAUCACUGACCUUAUCGUAUCAUAUCAAUUUAUAAAUCCCGGACAAAUAGAAUCAUAUAAUAUGAUUUAUUUUUAAUCCAAUAUACGCAUUGUUUUAAUUUAUUUUUUCCAACCAUCGUUCUGAAUUUUUGUUGAACAAAAUAUUAUUUUUUUAAUUAAAAACCACUCAACUGAACCAUUGAUAAAUCAUAAACGAAAAAAAUAAAUUUAUAAACUAAAUUGGUAUUCAGAACAUUUUCUUUAUCUAUACUGAUUAUGUAAUUUAUGGUGAUAACUUAUAUUAUAUCUUGUGUAUUCAUUUCAUUGGUUAUCCUUGGAAAUUUUAUGUUUUGAGUGUGAAAUUUCGAAUCAAAAUAAUAUAGAAGAUUUUAUAAAAUGUUUAUGAAUGAGUAAACAUGCAUCAAACGAUUAUAUCAAAGAUGAUAUGAUCUUUAGAAAAUGUGAAAGGGCAAAUUUUUUUUUGUAUAUAACCUUUUAAUUCUUCAAGAGUCGGACGAAAGAAACAAAUACACCAAUAUUAAGUUUUUUCAUUGAUAUGAGGUGUAUAUCAAAGAGAUUUGCUCUCAUUUAAUUCCUUAUUUAACUCUAGCCACUAAAAACUUUACGAACCAAUAUCUAUAUUUUGUCCUGUUUCUCAUACUUUCUCACAUUGAAUAUAUAUGUGAUAUUUAGGAGAAAAAAACAGAGAAAAAGACAAGCAGUAUCCGACGACGAUCCGUAUGGUAAAAGAAGAUUCGUACGUAUACAUAUUUUGGUUUGCAUAAUUAUUAUAUCUUCUAUAUGAACUCAUCAAGCCACAAGUUUUAUGUUUUGCAAUCUCAUCUUCAGUAGUAGCAUCAUAGUAUUUAGCCAGCUGAUCUGUUAUUACAGUUAAGAUAUAUUAUAGUUUUAUGAAAUUGCUCUACUUUGAAUAAAAGCAUAACUAAUUCGAGCUCUUUAUGAACUUGAUCACUCGAAUAAGAUAUAUUUGCUCUCCAUCGGGAAAACACAUUUUAAUCAAUGUGCAUACAUGGUUGAUUAUUGCCAUGAGUGAUAUUACAUUUUCUCCAAACAAGUUAAGUCCGGUGCGGAAAUGGACAUUCGUAACUUAUGUGAUGGGUGAUGUUUGAUAUUAAUGGUAUAUGAUUGAGUUAUAUAGAAAAGAAACAAUAAAAGCAUAACUUUAGAUCUGAAAAUGAAAUUUGAGAUAGUGGUGGCUAGUGGGAAUAUAUUCUAACUGUUCUACGGAUAUUCUUCGGAUAUUUAUAUGCAAAUAUAAACUUGUGCAUGCUAAAAUUACCCUGUAUAUAGUAUAUGAUCAAGAUUUGCAUCGUCUCAGACAAAAAUGCAUAACAGUAACACUAUAGUAAUACAGUAAUUUACGCACACGAGUUAGCAUUUAGUUAACUAUUAUGUAGUUGUAUAUGAUGUAUUAGAGACUAGAAUGAUGAUUCAGUAUUCACUUAUUAUUACACACAUGCACAAUGACCCCAAAUAAAAAGGUGUGACUAAAGUGAUAUAUUUUUGUUUAGAGAUUACGAGUGUACCGACCAAAUAAAACGACCUAUGACAAACCCAAAAGGUCAAACCAAACGUUAUCCGUGCUUCAAAACUCAAUUUCGAGUGGUCCAAGUUACCGAGAGAGAGAGAGAGAUACGUCGAGGUCUAUAUAUGUCUAUGCAGAGAUCAUAAUAUAUUUCAAUAAAUAAAUAGUCAUAGAAAAUGAAACUGAAAGUGAAACGGAGCGUUUUAAGGUGGGGGAAGGGGGUCGAAUACGAGAACUUGAAAAGUCAAACACAAUAAAUCCUGAGCGAGAUAGUCCUGGGCUCAUAUCAUAUUAGCCCAUAUAAAUGUGACGCAAUCACAGCCCAAUAUCAAAAUCUGAUUUGGGUUAGUAAAUCAGUGGGAUCGGAUGUAAGUAAGGUCCGAAUAUGGCAGAUAAGAUAUUGACAUCAGUUUUAAAUUCUUUUAGUUUUGUUACAAUCCAUCAGUUUCAGUAUGUACUGUGUACGCCAUAUACCAAAAAUUGUUAAUGAUCGACAGUCGUUUACUUCACCAUCAAAUUCCACUAUACACCAAUAAUCAUUUUUUGAAACUUCUCAAAUAAAAAAAUCCGGCAAAAUAUGAAAACAUAUUCAAUCUUUUACAGAAUUCGCGACAGUUUAUCCGGUAAAAUUUAACUCAACGAAGUAUAUAUAUAGGGAUGAAAAAGUCCAGCCAAGUUCUCAAAAGGUAUAAUAAAACUACCAUCAUAUUCCUAAUUGUACUUUUAAAUUGUCAAAGUUUUUCAUGUAUAUAUAAUCAGCAACCAUUUUUGAAUUCAUUGAAACGAAUUCACUUGUGAAUAGUUAUGUUAUGACUUAUGUGUCAAAAAGAUAGAUUGUUCAGAACUUGUAAGAAAAUUGUAAAGUUAGUGAAUGGUACGAUAAAUAAAGAAAAUACAUGAAUACUUUUUUUCCUUUCCGAAUCUUCUUCCAAAUCUUUAGUAUUUUAAUCUUUGUCAGACUUGUCGAUAUAUCUACUCGAAUAAAGAAAGUUUUAGGUCACAAUUUAAUUAUUAUUGAUUAUUUUAUUUUUUUCCAUUACCUUAGCAAUCCCCAUUUUAUAUGUACUGUAUACAGACCGAUGCAAUGCUUUAUAAUCUGUUGAAAUUCAAUUAUUUGUUAUCGUUGUCUCAAUCGACCGACGCAAAUUAAACUGUUAUAAAACCGGUUCAUGACUUCAUAACCGAAUCUAAAACCAAAUUAGAUUGAGUCCGGUUAAAAUGAUGAAUUGACAAAAAGGGAAAGAAACAAUAAUGAAGAAAAAUGAGGGUGGGUGGGAAGACAGAUGAAUCACUAUCAACAAAAAGAGAAGCAAAGAAAAGAUUUGUGGGGGCAAAAGACUAAUGCAUAAGAGUGCCUUUGAGACUGUGACAUUUUUGGCAACUCAUGCGUGAAGAUGUUUCUUGCCCAUUGUUUCUUCAUUCAACAUGAUUUUAGAUAUGUAUCAUAUCUAUUUCUAGGGUUCUUUUCUUUUCUUUUUUUCUUUUUUUGCGGGUACCAACGUAACUUUCCAACCAAGUGGUGCUCCACAUAUGGUAAGAUAGGUUGUCCUAUUGAUCGAAGACAAAAUUUGAGACAGUACUGACUAGAACAUAUGGCUAAUCACUUUAUAUGUGAUUUUUCAGAUACAUUAGUACCAGACCUAUUACAGACCCUAUUACAACAUGUUAGUAGCGCUCUAUCAAUCAUACAUGAUACAUCACACACCAUGAGAGAUGAGUUCGAAAACUAAGAUAAAAUUAAGUAACUUAGACAUUCGUUUUAUUUCGUUCUUUUGAGAUUUUAACCUUCGCUAUGUACUGCACAUAAAAUAAGAUGCAAUUGGGGAUAAUGAGUUCUAACGAGUCCAAAACCUUAUGUGAGUUUACAAGAAACAUCAUUCUCAUCUCUAUAGUCCAAAGAUAAACACACCGUACAAAUGGUAAUAGUGGCCAUGCAUGUAUAAAGAUUCUUAAUCCUAACAAGGUGUAAGAUAAAGACGAACCAGACGUUUAAAGCAACCUCUAAACGAACCGUACACUGCCACUUGAUACAACCAAUUUUUAUUUAAUUAAAAGUGAUAAAACCCUAGAUAACGUCUGACAAUGUCGAUGCCCACUUAAUUUCUUACAGAUUUUUUUUGAAAAAGGUAAUAGAAUCUUUAAACAGUAAUCAAUAUGUGUAUGUGUGUAUAACUACUAUAGAUGCACAGUAUAUAUACCUUUACAUGAUCUACUUUAAAAACUGUGAAGUUAGAUCCACAACAAAAAAAUCUGGCAGGCCUUGCAUCUUUGACCCAUUUCUAGUAUGUUACACCUGCAUAUAUACAUACAUAUAUAUUUCCCAAGUUAAUUUUUAGGAUAUAUACCCAUAUAUAUAUAGUUAUUGUUGUUUCUUUGGUAAACUAUACACCCAUUUCUGUUUACUGUUUAAUUGCAUGUUAUAGAGGGUGAGCCUUAAAUAUGUUUUUAUUAAAGCCCAAAACAUGCUAACGUUGGAGAUUAAGGAAACAGAAUUGAACCAAUAAUAGAGUUAAACCAGGUGUUAUUCCAUUUCCAUGAGAACUUAAUUAGCAGGUUGAAGAGAAUUGAAGGCCGUACCAACUGCUUGCAAUAAUGACGAGGUAGUUGAAGCGAUUUGGGGUACGUACUCGAUUUCUAUUCGUGAUCGAAAGCGAACCCUAAAGAAUGAAGAGUUGAAACCUAUAGUACAAGCAGAAGUUGAACAUCCUCUGAACGGUUCGUCUCCAUUUGAGAAACUUUCGAUAUAUGUCACCUACACUCACAACAAGUUCUUAGGAAAAAAAACUUAUCUCAAUGCAACAACAGCACAAACGAUUUUAACAAAAAACAAAAUUUGUAUGGUUUAUUUUAGGUAGUUUAUUUGUGUGUAAACUCGUAAUUUGGACCGGAAUUAGUUCUGGACACUUUUACAUUCUUUGUUAUCUCUCUUGUAAUGAACAAAGACACCGACACCGCUUUUCUUUCUUUAAGAAGUAAGAAAAAUCACCGAAGCAGUUUCGUUGUUUUAUAUACUGAACAAAUCAUAUCAUACAUUAUAUAUAAUCUCAUAUUAAAAGAAUACAUACAUGUACAUAAACAAGAAAUUUGAUAACAAAUUAAAUCUUCCACACGCACAAAAAACAAUUUAAAUUCAUAAUGAGACCGUUUCAUGAUAAACUGAAAUAAUUGAACAUUUCGUGAAACUUGUAUUUUUAAUAAUUUAAUACAUUAAAUAUUUAAAUAAAAUGUUUUAAAAAUUAUAGCAUAUUUAAAGAAAAAAUUAUAGUUUAUUUUCUGUGACGUUAUUAUCACCAUGAACUUAGUUAUUUUUUGUUUUGAAUAAUACUUCUGCAUUCAUUGUGAUCGAUAUCACUAAAAAAAAUACAUCAUGUAGCGUCAAUUGUGUAUAUCGUUUAAGUCAGUUUUCAGUGAUUAAAAAAAUUACGUUAAGUCGUUUGCCAAAAAAAAGAAAAAAAAAAACUUACGUUAACUCUAAGUAACUGUUGUUAAUAUCCUUUUCAUUUUUCAAUUUUAAAUCCUUUACACAAGUGAUGUUGAAUAAAUGAUGUGUUCAAGCGUUUUUUCGUAAUGUGAUAAUAAUAGCCAUAUAAAACCAACGCAUUAUUAAUCGUGUGGGUUCAUAAACUUUAAGAAUGCCAUUCAUAUUCAAACGAAUAAAACCUAAGUAUAUAGAGACAACUUUGUAAACAUUUAAAAAGUUAUAGAAAAAUAAUGGCAAAAGGGAAAAAAAAUAUUAAAUAUCAUAUCCUAAACAGUCAAAUUUGACAGGUUGGAAAAUAAUAUGCCUACGCACGUGUCGUAACACAUCACAUGCCCUCUCUUUUGUUCUUUUCUCGUUUCUCUUCAACUUCAGUAGUUCACAUGGUAGUUAACCAUUUUUAGUUUCCUCUAGUUCUCUAAAGUUAAAGAACAAGACAUGAAUUAAAGAAUUUUUGAUGAAAUCUUAAAUUGCUUUGACUACAUACUCUCUUUUUUUUUUUUGGUCAAGCUGACUCUAUAUACCUUAAGAAAAUAUGACUUCACUGUCGCUAGACGUCGUCAACAAACCAAUGAGAAUUAUAGCCUAAAUUCAUUAUGUGCUAACAUUUCAUAUAUGCUACUGUUUGCAAUUUUUCAUAGCUAUAACGGUGACAAAUCCAUCUUAAAUUGCAAGGGAUCGAAUACACGGAAGCAAUUUGGUUAGAAACGGCCAUAAAAUGACGAUCAUCAUCUAUUACUAACUUUCUAUGCUUUACAUGAUAUAUUUCCAUAUUCAAACGAGUUCUUUUGGCUAUUAUGUAAAUUAAUAAUAUGUUGAAAUAUAAAUUAACAGGUGUUACUUUCUUCUCCUCAACAUGACGUAAAUAUCAGGUUUUCUUACUUCCAAAUCAUUACAACUUAGAAUUUCAAAACCAUCUUUCCCAUCAAAAAGAAAUUACAAAAAAGACAAAUUUUCAAGAUGCAAGUUACUCCGAAUUGGAAUGGGUUCAACCAUAUUAAACCAAAUCAAAAUAUGGUAUGAUUUAUUCUAGUUCAAUUAUACUAUAUUAUUAAAUUCUGAAUGUUGAUAUGUAUAGCGACAUAUAUGUAAGUAUCCUAUUAAAGAUAAGCGAUUAAUUCUGAUGGAACAUGAUAAAAGAAACCAUAUGUAACAUAGGUAGAAUAUAUAGUGGUUAGUGAGUCAUAACCUAUUACCUAGUUUUCAUGAACCAAUCAGGGACAUAGAUGCUCACUCUACUUUGCAUCUCGCUCAAUUAUUAUUUUCAUUAUAAUAUUAUUAUAUUGCAUUUCAUUGAAAAAAGGAAAAAAAGAAAGGACUAAAUCUAUCGUUAAAUUAGGCUUUAAUUAGAUUUUAUAAAAACAUCAUGUGCAAUGUAUUUCGGAGAAAAAAACAAGAUCCCUAAUUAGAAUUUGUUGAAGCAUUUAAUGAAAAAUUGACAAUGAUUUUGACUGGUACUUAACGCCUUCCUUUUUAGUGUCGCUGAACUCCUUCCAUUUGAUAAAAUGAAAUGUUUCGUAAGAAAUUUCACUCGUACAAGUAGUAAUAAACUAUUUGAAUUACCAAAUAUAUAUUUGGAGAUUUUUUUAUCUUAACUUGCAAUUCAUUUAUUGUUUCAAAUAAAUAAAUUUUAUCAUUAGUCAAUUAUAACGGAUGGAAACAUGUAAUAUACUGGUUUGCAUUGUAUCAUAAUUGAUAUGAAUUUCGAAAAUGUAUGCGUAUAUAAAUUAUAGAUGACACAAAACAACCAACAAAAUCUAUAAUGUAUUUGAAGUUAUCAAGUACAUGAAAAAUGCAAAGCAUCCAUAUUUACGAAACAAAAAUCUAGAGUUAAAAAACAAUUGAAAUCUGAUGGGGACAAGAAGUGAACCCUACAACGAAUUUUAGAUAAACAGCAUCACUCUAUAUCAACAAAAAUUGAUUGAAAUUAAAGUUGCAAAUCUGUUUAUAGAAAGAAAAAAACAAAUUGAUAUAUCAAUGAUAUGAACAACUCAUCUAUACUGAAAAGAACUAUCAUUUUUCCUUUUCGUUGAUAUCGUAAAAUACGAGAAAUGAAAACGAUCAUAUAUCAAACUGUUAUAAUUGGUACGCCGAAUAUAUUCCGCCUGUCCGGAAAAUUGGAUGGACUAUAAGUAGCUAGGCGUGUCAACAUAGAAAUUGGUAUCAACGAUUCUAGUAUUAUUUGUAUAUCAUUAAUAUUUAUUAAAAUAUAGUCUAAAAGUGAUCCACUCUAAUCUGAUUCGCUGACAAACCAAUCUGUAUUUUCAACCUGGCCGUUUUUCAUCCUACGGCGUGUUAAACCCUCGUAGACAAAUCCACAACGUUUUUUCACAUCCUUAUAUAUAUGUGUGUGUGUAAAUAUUGCUUCGUCCAACAAGAAGAGUAUUGUUUGUAGUUUUUUAAUCAAUAGAAAAUGUUAUCAUACAACCCACAAUGAGCUAACUAACACAUUUCCCAAGUAUAAAAUCCCUUUAGAAAACUAUAUAUGAUCUUGAGCUGAAGUCCAAAUAGUCUCUGACUCUCUGAAAUCGAUGUAAGCAUUGAAUCUUCUAACCAUUAUAAAGACAUAUACAGUAUCCAAUUUUGAAAUCGUGGUGGAGAACUCAAACUUGGUGAUCUUUCAACAAAAACUAUGUAAAUCUUUUUAGCCAAUGAAUUUGAUUAAUAAAUACUGAUACGUAAUUAGUUAAGAGAGAGAGAGGAAGAAAGAAAACAAAAUUUUGAAAGGGCCCAUAACAUGUCCUCUCUAACGUCAACAUCAUCUGCUACUAUUACUUUCACCCUCUCAUCAAACUCACUCAACCUUUCAUCUUUCUUUCUUAUUACAUAAUUCUUCAGAUCCAUAAAACAAAUUGAUCCCUUAACCUUCUUCACCAACAUCUCUCUUACACUCAACAAGAGAUCAUAUCAUGUCCUCUCCAAGAGAAAGAGGAAAGAGUUUGAUGGAAUCAUCAGGAUCAGAGCCACCGGUGACACCAAGCCGUUACGAGUCGCAGAAGAGACGUGACUGGAACACUUUCGGACAGUACUUGAAGAAUCAGAGACCGCCUGUGCCGAUGUCUCACUGCAGCUGUAACCACGUGCUUGAUUUCCUCAGGUACUUAGACCAGUUCGGUAAGACAAAGGUGCACGUGCCUGGCUGUAUGUUCUACGGCCAGCCUGAGCCACCAGCUCCUUGCACGUGCCCUCUCAGACAAGCUUGGGGAAGUCUUGACGCUUUGAUCGGACGGCUGAGAGCGGCUUACGAGGAGAACGGUGGACCUCCGGAGACUAACCCUUUCGCUAGCGGAGCGAUAAGGGUUUAUCUGAGGGAGGUUAGGGAGUGUCAGGCUAAGGCUAGAGGGAUUCCUUACAAGAAGAAGAAGAAGAAGAAGCCAACGCCGGAGAUGGGAGGUGGGAGAGAGGACUCUUCUUCCUCCUCCUCUUCCUUCAGCUUCUCUUAAGAGAUUCUCCAUCGUCGUGAAAGACUUUGUGGUAAUAUAUGUUUCCAAUAUGUGACUUUGCAUAAUUUACAUAUAAAGCAAGCAUAUCUGCAUCAUUUAUAUAUAACAUAUAGAUUUUGAUUGAUAUAAUAUAUAUUAUACUAUGUAUCAAAAACCCUAAUUGGAGAUACAAUUAGGCUUUUGAUUUCUGUGAAUGAUCAGCUAAAUUUUUUUCUUGAUAUUGGGUUCGGAAUUAAGGGACCGGUUUGUGAUUAGAUCUUAGGUUUCAGUGGAAGUAGAUGUGUUUUGGAAUGAUUUCUUUUAAAUCAUUUUAGCUCUUCGAAUGCAAGUUGAUUUUAGUUUUGAAAUAAUAUAAAGGAAGAUGUGUUUUCUAGUUUCUAGCAUGUAAAAUCAAUUCUUGAAUAGAUGAUUCAUUAAAUCUCUAACAUUAAAGUAAACUAAAAACAGAUUUAUUCAAAACCUUAAUUUGAAAAUGCAUCAGACUUUCUAAGCUAUGUAUAUGUGAAAUUAUAGACUAUUCAAGUUUAUCCUAGUGAACAACUCAUUCAAGAUUUGGAAAACGUACAUUUGAUUCUCAAAAGUUGAAUCCUUUCUUUAUCAACCAUGUAUGUAUAGUUGAAUAUUGGUAUAUAUGGGCCGUGUGUACACAUUGUACCACUGUUAUUUAUAUAAAUAGUACGUAGUUCAAUGAAGUAAUGAUUGGCUCUUGGAAGGCUUCUCUUUAAAGAUUUUUGUAGAUUUUGUUCCCCAUUGGUGAUCAAGGGAGGAGUUGAUUGAACCUUUUACCCCCAUUUUUAUAACCUAAAGAAAUAUUGAGAUUCCAUGAUUGUUAUCAAAGGCUAAGAAGGUUAUCUCAGAAUAGAAAUUACCUCACACAUAAUACUUUAACGUUUUUAAUUCAUACUUUUUAAACUAUUGCAAUGUGGGUCUUAGUAGAAUGAUCUCAAUAUGAACAAUUCAACCAAAUCUUUAUCAUAUACAAUCAUAUUAAUUAGGAUCUCAGAUUUUAGAGCUUGGAUUGUGACAUGUAAUUUUAGCUUUUAUAAAGGCUGUUUACUGCAUGAUCAUUGGGAAUAGUUAUGCAUUGGCAUUUUCUGAGAUUAUACAAUUAGAUUUUGUGGAAAUUAAGUUUGUCUCUUUGAAUUCAACUAAUUAAAUCAUUUUUAUUUUCUUUGAUCUCAAUUAUAAUUUCAGUCUUAAGUUUAUAUAUAAUUUGCUCAAAUCAUCUUUAUGCGUCUCCUUUAGGAUCUUUGUCACCACUAACUUUGGAAAAGCUUGAAAGUUGGUUUUGUCCCCCGCAUAGCUUUGUAGAUUUUGUUCGAUUAUACAAAUGUGACAUAUGCCACAAGAAACAUAAUUUAAGAAUAUAUUUUUGAUGAAUUCCAUAGAAGUAUGGGUUAAAAUUAAGUCUCUCGGACAUGCAUGCAUGCAUCUCGCAUAGUUAUGGCUUAAACUUGAAUUUAUAUACGUUAUCCUAUUUGCAUCUGUGAAUCUAGGUAAGCGCAUAUUACAUGUAUUUCUGGCAAUGAAUUAGUGAACUAAUCUUGAUACAAUAGAACUUGGCAGGAUCAGUAAGUCUCAAAGAGGGAUCAAAUGUAAAAGAGACCUCAAAUCUAUCUACUGGUAUCUUCAACAUAUCUUUCGGGACCAUUUUUGCAGCUCUUCGUCCCCUCCUCUUCAUUUCCGCAGAUCUCCGUCGUCAUAAAUAUCUUCAUCUAUUCUCUUAUUAAGCUCUAUUCAUAUUUAUUCUCUUAUUAAGCACUUUUCUUUUGAAUAAAGUAAGUGUAAAGAGUUUAUAUAUUGAAUUCAGGUGUGUUUUGUACUUCUUAUGUGGAUCAGCGUACUUCUAUGUCUUAUAUAAGUCCAACAUAUUGGAUUUAAAUGAAAAUUACAAUGGACUAUAUAUGGUGGAAUAGCAGAGUCCGAUGACCAAUUAUAAUUUUUGUUUUUGGAGUAUUCUAAAAUUGAUGGAUCGACGUAAUUAUAACUUAGAGAAGAAAGUGAUCAAUGGAUUAGCUUCAAAACAAUCUGUUUGAAAAUAGUAUAAAAAGUUGUUUCCUGACUGAUGUUCCCAACAAAUAAGAGAAAACCUUGAAAUUUAAACUUGUAAAAAACAAUGUUUGUAAAUGUUAAGUCUAGAUGAAAAAGACAAAAACAAGUUGGAGGAAAAUAAAUCUAGUUAAACAGAAAUACCAUUACAUUUUAUUAAUUUUCCCCCAAAACGACGAGUACAUGGUGUUAUAAUAUGAUAGGAAAAGUCGUUUACAAAACAAUCUUGGUAGGGCAAGUUCAUAUUUGUCUUCAUCGGAAUUGGCUUUAUUGUUUUCUAAUUAUCAAGCAUAUUGUGUAAAUCCAGCGAUGAUAUACCUAUAGCUCAGCUGGUGUAUUAAUUUAUGUUUUUCUAAUAGAUCAAAGUUAUGAGUCUGAGUCUCAACAAUAGUGAAGAGAUUAUUUUGUAAGAGUAACAGUUUUCAUCUUCUCUCUAAGGAAAGUAUGGUCUUCAUGAAUUUUGAAUAACACUUUGAGAAUCUUGUAAGUUGAAUAACAAGAGCAAUGAUACUCCACAAAAAUAAUGAUUUGUAUGUUCCCGUAUAGAAAUGAUAAUUGAGCAUAUUUUUCAAUUCUUCAUGCCUAAUUAACUAGAUUUUAACAUGGCUUUGGCCUUUUGUGUGUCGCCCGUUAACUAACCUCAUUUUUUUUUACAUUUACAAUUUCAUGUAAAAUAUUGAUUAUAGUUUUAUGUUACAUUUUUGUUUUAAACUCCUCUUCUCUAAAAAUAAUGUAUGUCUUCAUCUCCGCUAUCAUCAACAAGCUUCGUCGGAUUCCUUCAAUAGCUUCGGUCUCCUUCAUCUUAAAGCAACACAACUCUCAUCGUGAGACUAGUAUAAGCACAAACCUCGAUCACUUUAUUUCAUAUGGAAGCAAAGGAAUGUUCGUCUCCAAACCUAAAAUCGCGGCCUCUGGCUUCGCUCAUUGAAGAAAUCACUCGUAUCAUCUGAGUACGUGUAGGACCCCUCUUCGAGCUCAAUCUCUUCACACCAAUAGAGAAACGUAUUGUCCACUUGUUUUCUCGCCUCUUUCUCCAUCGCACGUCACCGACACUUGUGACUCCUAUUUAAAGUCUCAACUAUCUCUUUUCUAAACAUGCAUAUGUUCUAUGCUGUGUUUAAUCUUUUGCUCCUUUCCCAAUAACAAUUACUCCCUCUGUACAGUUUGUAGAAAGAACAACAAAAAGCUCGAAAAGCAAAUUUUAAUAAAUUUUGUUGACAUAUAAUCUAAAUGGGCCACAUAAGAUAACUUAAAUAAGCCCAAUUUUGUAGUAACAUAACCCAAUAUGCUAGGCCCAUAGCCUCUCGACUGUUUCCCAGUUCUCUCUUCUCAGCUCCUUAUCACAAGUCAACAACUAUCAUGUCAUUACCUAACCUAGUGAGCUACGAUUUAUUAUAUCUAAUUCUUAAAAAGUAAUUGUUCCUUCAAAUGGUAUGUUGCUUCUGACAAAUCAAAACAUCCACCAAUUUUGCUGUACCCAAAAUAAAAUCUAUAAACUAUCCGGAAUAAACUAUAUCUAUCAAACUAAACUAAAAAAUUAUCAGCUCAAGAAUUAAAUCUGAUCUCGAUUUCAAAAACAUAAUUACACAUUGAAAAUUUCAACCACAACAUCGUCGUUACACAAAACCGUUGGAACGAACGUGGAGAUCGGACGAAAGACAUUAAAUGAUAAACCCGAGAUGUCGAACCCACAUGUGACACGUGGAAUUCUAGAAACUGCUUUGUUACUAGACGUCCACGUCAUCAAUCUUUGAAAGAAAAAAAAGAGAAAAACGACAAGCAAGGCAACGUCGUGAGAGUGAGACAGCAUGGUGUACUUUGAAGGAUUAGAUUUUUAAGUUACGGAACACAAACAUUUACUUCACGUCACCACUUAUCUACUUCCACGUCACUCUCUUUUCCCACCACUUCUUUUUUGGCCAUUCUCAUUACUCUUAUAACUAAUUUUCUUUCGGUCAUUAAAUUCAAAACCCGGGCCCAGGCCCACCAAAGCUUCCAGUAAUUGGUCUAUUUUUUCACAACUACAAAUUAAUUUUAUACGAUUUUUUUUCCUUUUUGUAUCGUUUGCGUAUAACUUUUUAGGUUAGGACGAUUUUAAUAACAUAUCAUCAGUUUGAGAAAAGUAACACUAGCUAGCACAUAAGAGCAACUCCAUUGCACAUCAAUGAGAGGGUCUUUCUAUAACUAUAAUAUAAUAUAUGUAAAGAAAAUAUAUUACUUUAAUGUUUGAGUAUCUUUAAACUAAAGACAUUUUAUGGUAAAUGUCUUGUUAGAGACAUUUUUGAGAGUGUGUCUCAAAUUUAAAGACCCAUCACAUUUUAUUAUUAGUAUUUUAUAACUUCAAAUUUUUUUAAUAUUUAUGAAAGACACUCUCCAUAAUGUGCCAUGGAAGUGCUCUAAUAUUUCAACAGAAGUGAAGAUCGGAUUCAAGAAAUUUUAGUGGCCAUAACAUAUGAAAAAUUGAAUGACAUGUAAGAUUUAAGAAGUUAAAUCUUUUUGGAGCCCACUUGUUCAAGAUCCACCUUACUACACCCAAUCGAAUUAGAUUUUUUUUUCCUUUUCUUUUGGGUUAUAGAGGAGUUCCAAUUUUAGUUUCAUUGUUUUGGUUGUAAUUUCUUCAUAAAACCAUUCAAGUUCUAAUUGUUGUUGUCCAACAAAAAAAAUAAAAAAAUCAAGUUCUAACGAAAUAGUAAUAUUAUGAUUCUUGAGUAGCAAGAACGAUCAAAAACUCAAUUUUAAAAUGUUUUUGUACGUGAGAUGAAAGAAUAUUUGAACUUUUGGAGAUCUAAGUUGAUUCGUUAUGUGUUUUGAUGUCCGUCAGUUAUAUAAUAUGUGGGUAUUAUGAGCUAUGAAGUGCGUUUGAUGUCCAAAGUCUAAAAGAAAAGGUGAGCAAAAAUAAGACAUUCUUACUUUAUAAUCUGAUAAUAUAUAUAUAAUGUAGUCACUUAUCCAUACAUUAUAUAUAGGAUUAGUACCCCCUCAUCAUGCUUCAACGUGUGAUCUCUUUCUCCACAAACUAUUUUUUAAGGGACCGUGUCUUCGUAUGUGGUUUUUCUGCUCGUCUAAAAAGUCAAAAUUUCUGAUGGAUUUAUUUUACCAUCCAUUGUUUCACGUUUUCCAUUUCAUGAUUUCAUGCGUGCUAAGUAAAAGGUAACUUAAAGUAUGCUAUAUAAAUAAUUACAUAUUAUUAUAAUGAUCAUUCUAGGGAUUUAUCUAACCAAGCAUGAAUUCUGAUAAAGUCAAUUACCUUUUCUGUGAAGAAAAAAAUUACUCAACUACAAGUGCUUAUAGUUCAUGGUUUCUCGAUGGUGCAAGUGUCACUCAAGACAUCUUCCUUCACAAUUCCCUACUCACAACUAAGUGCCUUUGAUCCAGGACCAUGAGACGUCUUUUAGUUUAGCAAGUACAAAUUGUACAACUUAUUCCUUUUUUCUAAUAAUUUAAAAUCAUUCUUUAUGGAUGUUUUUGAAUAUUUAUAUCAACUAGAAAUUAAUCUGUAAAAUUUUUAGAAAAUAUUUUAAUGCAUUUGACAUGACCUCUAAAUAGUUUGAAACGGUUGAAUUGUAUACAUGGUUCAUUGAAUUAUAUUCACUUUGAUAAGAUAAUAUUGUAUUACAUUAACCAAAUAUAUGCCCAAGUUAAUUCAGCCAGUCUAUAAGCAUGGGCACAAAAACAUGGUAUAGGUCAGUGGAUUUGAAUAUAUUUAGUACAUAGUCGCGUUUAUAUGUUGACGCAUGUGUAAUCACAUGUAUAUGUAUGCGUGUAUGUGUUUUUGUGACCGGCAAGAUGAGUAGGCAAGAGAUAAUGCAUGCCCUACAAAUCUUAAAUUUCUCACUUUGUAAGGAAAAAGAGAAAAACGAAAAAUAAAAUUUAGUUGCAAAUUUCUCACUAUUGCUUUCGUGAUUAUGCUCACUGAGUUAUCCAUUAAGCUUUUUAAAAGUUAAACACUAUUUUGAAAAUAUAAAUUGUAUUUACGUUGGAGAAAUAAUCAAAACCUAUAUUUUAUUUAAUUUGUAACAUGACUGAGCGCCGCUUAUUAAGCGGGAAACGUAUCUAAUUAAAUACUCUUUGAACUGAAUCGAUUCACUGUAUUGGAUCUAUAUUUCUCUUAAAAUGGAAAUGAAGUUCAGCUUAUCUUUUAGUUGUUGCAUGCAUUCUUACGUGAUUCCAAUUAUGAAUUUGGAAAAGACUCGAUAUUCUUACAUAUAUGUUAUGGGUUUGGGAUUUAUCUAGAUCCUGAUCUUAUAGUAAAAUUAUCUGCAGUUUAAAUACAUUUCUGUACAUGACACAAAUCAGUGUUUUUGAUGCUGUUUUAUUCCGACUUCAUCUCUUGUUGCAGUCAGUAACUUAAUAUUGGGGGUUUUCUUAAUAUUUUAAGGUUAUUGAAUUCUAAAUCUUGCAAAAUAGUUGUGUUUAGUUUUAGUUAUUUUCCUAUUAAAGCUCAUGUCUAUCAACAAAGAAGGUUGGUAUUAUUCUUGAGGGACAUAAACAAAUGUUAGAUGCAUGCACGGGAAAAAGGUGGAUUGUUCUUUACAGGAAAAAUAUGCAAUUCAAGUGGGAACAUAAGGGAGAGAGAGGGAUAGGUUGAUUUUGACUCUUGCAAUUUGAUUAUAUAAUAUCAAAUAUGUAUAUUUGUUUAAUGAUUAAGAACAAUUGUCAAGUUACGGCGAUUCCAUAAUAAUACGAAUGAUCUCACAAACAAAAUUUGCUGUGCCUCUACCAAAUGAAGUAUUGGUCAACUUGUGACAAUGGCGAUGAUUCAAAUCUAUUAUCUCAUACAAUUUUUUUAAAGAUAAGGUAUUUUUUGUAAAACAUUUGAAAGGAGCUUAAGUAACUAUGACACAUACUGCAUGUACAGUAAAGCAUACAUGUACCCGUAAUUACCAAAUUCGAAGAUCAAAGUUUCGAAAUCUUUUGAGUCGGUUAAUGUGUAAAUCUCUCUUUAUCAUACCAAAGUACAUGCAUAGAUUACAACUAAAAGCUGAUGAGAACACACGAACGAAAUGAAAUAGUCAGGACAUUACAUGCAAGCAUGCAACUUCGUAUAUCCUAAACCUUUCAUUUUGAUUAGUGAUAUAAUGAUAUUUACAUUCAUAGAGAAAAAAGGGUAUGCAACUAUGAUUUUGGUUUCUCCAAAAUAGUAUAUCAUCGUAUAAGUACGCAUAACAAUCUUUUUGACCAAUGACAACACAAUCCCAUUAUCUAUUGGUUAUGAGUAUUUUGAUAAAGUAAGGAUUUAUAAAGUACAAUUUGAGGAUGAAUAUUUUGUAGGCUUAAUUAAAGAAUGUAUGUUCUAUUUUUUUUUUUUUUUUUUUUGACAUCGUAUGUUCUUAUAUAAUUAACCUCAAAGAUAAUUUAGAUUUAAUCAUUUAAAUACAUAUGAUUUUUCAAUCAAAUUACCUCAAAAAAGGAAAGAAUUAUAGUACUAUCUAUAUUAAAAAGAAAAAAAACAUAAAAGAAGAGAGAAGAAGAAUGUCAGUAUCAUCACGUGGCUCUCUCUCUGCCCAACACAAAUCUCUUCUUCUUCCUUCUUCCCUCUUUCUUCUUCUAAAAUCUCCUCUCUUGUAGAUUUGCCGCUUCUCAUGGCUUCCACUACUCUCUCCGACCUCCCUGACGUCAUCUUAUCCACCAUUUCCUCUCUCGUAUCCGAUUCCCGAGCUCGCAACUCUCUCUCCCUCGUCUCUCACAAAUUCCUCGCUCUCGAACGAUCCACUCGCUCUCACCUCACUAUCCGUGGCAACGCUCGUGAUCUCUCCCUCGUCCCCGACUGUUUCCGAUCAAUCUCACAUCUCGAUCUCUCUUUCCUCUCCCCAUGGGGUCACACUCUUCUCGCUUCUCUCCCAAUCGAUCACCAGAACCUUCUCGCUCUCCGUCUCAAAUUCUGUUUCCCUUUCGUCGAGUCUCUAAACGUCUACACACGAUCUCCGAGCUCUCUCGAGCUUCUACUUCCUCAAUGGCCGAGAAUUCGCCACAUCAAGCUCCUCCGAUGGCAUCAACGAGCUUCUCAGAUCCCUACCGGUGGCGAUUUUGUUCCUAUUUUUGAACACUGUGGUGGUUUCCUUGAGUCUUUAGAUCUCUCCAACUUCUAUCACUGGACUGAAGACUUACCUCCUGUGCUUCUCCGCUAUGCUGACGUGGCGGCGAGGCUUACACGGUUAGAUCUCUUGACGGCGUCGUUCACCGAGGGAUACAAAUCAAGCGAAAUCGUUAGUAUCACCAAAUCUUGCCCUAAUUUGAAGACUUUUCGUGUAGCUUGUACGUUUGAUCCGAGAUACUUUGAAUUCGUCGGAGACGAGACUCUCUCCGCCGUAGCUACCAGUUCCCCUAAGUUAACGCUUCUACACAUGGUGGACACAGCUUCGUUGGCGAAUCCUAGAGCUAUUCCAGGUACGGAAGCUGGAGAUUCAGCUGUCACGGCGGGGACGCUAAUUGAAGUUUUCUCAGGUUUACCGAAUCUAGAGGAGCUGGUUCUUGACGUAGGAAAGGAUGUGAAGCAUAGUGGUGUAGCUUUAGAGGCAUUGAAUUCUAAAUGCAAGAAGUUAAGAGUAUUGAAGCUAGGACAGUUCCAAGGUGUUUGCUCUGCUACAGAAUGGAGGAGGCUCGACGGUGUGGCUUUAUGUGGAGGAUUGCAGUCGUUGUCGAUUAAGAAUUCCGGCGAUUUGACUGAUAUGGGUUUGGUGGCUAUAGGGAGAGGAUGUUGUAAGUUGACUACGUUUGAGAUUCAAGGGUGUGAGAAUGUAACAGUGGAUGGACUAAGAACAAUGGUUAGUCUUCGGAGUAAGACUUUGACUGAUGUGAGAAUCUCUUGCUGCAAGAAUCUUGACACAGCUGCUUCUUUAAAGGCAAUUGAGCCGAUUUGUGAUCGGAUCAAGAGACUGCAUAUAGACUGUGUGUGGUCUGGUUCAGAGGACGAGGAGGUAGAAGGAAGAGUGGAAACUAGUGAGGCUGACCACGAAGAGGAGGAUGAUGGUUACGAGAGGAGCCAGAAGAGGUGCAAGUAUUCAUUCGAGGAAGAACACUGCUCAACUAGUGAUGUGAAUGGAUUCUGUUCUGAAGAUAGAGUAUGGGAGAAACUGGAGUAUCUAUCUUUAUGGAUCAAUGUUGGAGAAUUUUUGACGCCAUUACCUAUGACAGGACUAGAUGACUGUCCGAAUUUGGAAGAGAUUAGGAUCAAGAUAGAAGGAGAUUGCAGAGGUAAACGCAGGCCAGCCGAGCCAGAGUUUGGGUUAAGUUGUCUCGCUCUCUACCCAAAGCUCUCAAAGAUGCAGUUAGAUUGCGGGGACACAAUCGGUUUCGCACUGACCGCACCGCCAAUGCAGAUGGAUUUGAGUUUAUGGGAAAGAUUCUUCUUGACCGGAAUUGGAAGCUUGAGCUUGAGCGAGCUUGAUUAUUGGCCACCACAGGAUAGAGAUGUUAACCAGAGGAGUCUCUCGCUUCCUGGAGCAGGUCUGUUACAAGAGUGCCUGACUUUGAGGAAGCUGUUCAUCCAUGGAACAGCUCAUGAGCAUUUCAUGAACUUUUUGUUGAGAAUCCCAAACUUAAGGGAUGUACAGCUUAGAGCAGACUAUUAUCCGGCGCCGGAGAACGAUAUGAGCACAGAGAUGAGAGUUGGUUCGUGUAGCCGAUUCGAGGACCAAUUGAACAGCCGCAACAUCAUUGACUGAAACUUGAAGAGUGAGUUACCUACACUAUUAUAUCUGUAUUGACUUCAGAAACUGGUCCAUUUUAUUUGUAUGGUCAAGAGUGUUUUGUAUAUGUUUGUAAGAGGAAAGGACAAAGACUAUAAUUUGCGAUGAUUAAUGAUAUCAUAAAACAAUAAUCCAUUUUUAUAAAUGAUAAAACUCAAAUGAAGAAGCCGGAGAGAUCUGGAGUACAAACUCAAUGAGUUUCUCACAACUAAUGCCUCAACAUAUUACACACAGAAAGAACAAACAACUCACAGAAUCAGCAAAUCGGAAUCUCGCAGGUCUUAAGACGGUGCAGUAUCUCUUUACAGCUCGGCCUUUGCUCUGGUUCCGACCAACAAUCUAUAACAAGACAAAGUUUCCAUAAGCAUCUGUUUACUAAAAUAUAGCAAGGGUUCCAAAAGAAGCAACAGUUAGGUUUCGAGGAGUCACAAACCUGCAAUAAGCUUCUGUAGUGGUCCUUCAGGUAUUUUGAGCCGGGCUCCUUCGUUUGCAACGAUAUGAAUGACCUGAAAGCAAAAAUACCAAGAGCCGGGUUUAGAUUCGAUGUUUUUAUUUAGUUACCAAGUGUUUUUCAUGUUCAACGAACAUACUUUUUCUUUUGGGACUCCUUUCCAGGGCUUGGAUAGAGUGCUAAGUUCCCACAUUAUAACACCAAAGCUAAAGAUGUCGCUUUUUUCUGUGACGGGUUCAUUGCGGAUAAGUUCAGGAGCCAUCCACUCAGGAGUUCCUGCAGCUUCAGUAUCUUUCACUGCCGUACCUGUCAUCCUUCUCGAGAGCCCAAAAUCACAGAUCUUGACUAUCGACUUGUUUAACAGGCAGUUCGCACUGGUUAGAUCACGGUGGACUAUCCCCAUCUUGUGUAUGUACAUCAAACCCCUGUGAAACAAAAAAAUACAAAUGAUUAUGAGAGCUUCCUGGCACUAUUUCUAAGUUUUGUUAUGUUAAAAGGAGACGGUGUGAAUCUUGAUCCUUAUGAGAACUUGGUGAUCAAAUCUAUGGAGUGUCUCUAGAAAGCUCUAAAUGUGGCGAAAAUAUUAACGGAAAGUAUUUAGUGUAGAAAUGAAACACCUGCAAAUUUCAGCCAGAAUCUUUAGUUUCCUUUGCCAGCUCAACUCCUUUUUUCUGGUACGGAUCACAUCAUACAAGGACCCCGUACUCAUAUACUCUGUGACCAGUGAUAACUGAGGAGGCUUUGUGCAUGCUCCAAGGAGCAGAAUAACUACAAGAUGUCAUGACAUGCCUCGUUACUUGAAAAAUGGUUUUAAAAUCUUACAAAUUGACCGCUUGAGGAUCGUUGGACAAGUAAUCAAAGCAAAAAAAGAAAUAGAUGAUGUUUACCAUUGGGAUGUUGAAGACGGCUGCACAGAAGAGAAGACAGGAAGAAAGGUGAGAAGAUAAGUUGCAAAGGCACAGAAAAAAUUAAAGGACACAUACCUAAGAAUAGAUAUCUCAUUGCAGAAAACUUUCAUGUUCUCAGCUGUAAGCUGUUGUCCAAGAAAUAUCUUGAUCGCAACUUCAGUUUUAUUCCAGACGCCACGACAUACUACUCCAGAAGUUCCUGAAUGACAUAUAACAACAAAAAAGAGUUAAUAGGGUUUCAAAGGAAAAUGUAUACUUAUGCUCACAGACCAUAUCCAAGUUUUCUUGCUGAAGAUAUAUGCCUAACACAACAGAUAGAUGGAAUUCGAAAACACUCCACACGUCUUGAUAUAAAAACGAUUCUUAUUCUUACCACUCCCAACAGAAGCCCCAACUUUCAACUUGGAGAAAUCUAUGUUCCAUUCUUCAAAUGGUAACAAAGGUUUAUUCUGGAACAUUGGAGACUCCAGCACUUCAUUCCAAAUGUGGCUUAUUUCUUGAGGUGAAUGUUCACUUCUUUCAGAUAAUUGAAUUUGAUAGCUUCGCGGAGAUGACGGCAAUGAUAUUGACUUCCGCGGAUAUACUGUCGAACAUUCACCAGACACUAGGUCAUGGGAAUCAAGCUGGAAACCAGAGACCUAGAAGCAGAAAUAAGCCCUUAUAAGGAAAUUUAGUAAAAAAUUCUGAGAUAUCCAUACUCUUCUCACAAAUAUUUUCUUAUAACAGCAUAGAACAAUUUUCCAUUUUUUAUUGCGACUUAUUGAAACAGGAAAUGGAUGUUCUGCUUUUGUUUUCUCAAACAAAGAAUCACAACACCAGCACUUUCCCUAAAAUUCCUCUUUCUAAUUUCAUGAACUGUCAUUUCAACUUAGGCGAAGAGAAAAGAUACAGAAAGUGUUCUGUAGUUCGCAUAGCUGCCAAACAUACCAUAAGUAUUUCAAUGACGCAUAUAUCAAGACGCCUUUAUAUAUCAAUAUGAGAAUUCAGGAAAACUGUUACAUACAUUCUUUUCAUCUGGAGAGUAAGGAGAUGAAUCAUCAACACCUCGCUCUUUCAAGAGGUCACUCUGCAUCAUUGUUGCCCUGAAACAGAUUGUUAAGUUUACUUUAAACAAAAGAUAAUUGAUAAAACCAUUCAAAUAUUAGUGACAACAACAGCCGAUACAAAUGCUACAAACUCUCACUACCAUAUGUGGAAGUCUGUACAUGAUGCAAGCAAAUGCUAGUUUAGUUAUAUUAUGUGGUGCUCAAGAUUUAUGAAAGAUAAUAACGCAAGAUCUUUGCCUAUUGUCAAAUUUUUAUAUAAUUUCCAUAAGAGAUUGUACCGCCAGUUAUGUAGGCCAAUGUUCACAAUAAAAAACGAAAUGACAGCAACCUCAUUUGGUAACAUAAGGAUGACUGUGAACACAUGUUUUUUUGUCUUAUAAAACAAACACUUGCCUGGCAAUGUCAUUGUUUAGAUCAGGAGUAUUCAUACACCUUCCAUUUGUUCUCUUACUUUCCGAUUCCGCUGCUCCUGAGUUACCACUGCACAUUAAAAAAUGAAAACAUCAGCCUUCUUUAUGCAUUACAACCAUUUUUUUCAGCCAAAACGUUCUUGUAAGCCAGACAAUAAUGACUAAGAAAAUGCCAUGAACUUUUGCAGCUACAAAAAUCAUAUAUGCUUUUGAAGCAAACUCAUCAAUUGCAGUACAUAUUGAAUUCACCUCAUCUGAUAGUUAAGCCCAAUACUCUCACAACGUAACUCAUAGCUCUUGCAUUGUAGUUGACUAGAAUGGACUUUAAUGGUUACCAUAUUUCACCUUUUAUCAAUAAAGAUAAUUGACAGAAUUUGAGGGAACAUGACGACACCCAAGUUUUAAGAGAGAAGUAGCAUGGAAUCUAUAUACAACUACUUAGCAUUGAAAAAGUUUAUCAAAACUACACCACUGUUGAAAGGAAAUAUAUAUUGACUAACAAUUUAACCUGAAAUCAGCAGGUGGCGGUUCCUUGAUGACCUUUCUCCGCAAAACUUCAGUAGCUAUGUUUGGCUCGCCUAGUGAACGACUGAGGAAACAACAAAAGUUACUUUUAUACGUGCAUAACGCUUUUGCUUGCCCUAUAGAGAAACAUAAGAUAUAUAUGGUAGCAAAUAUACAAACAUAAUCAAGAAAACUAAACAAGUAUGCUUAUCACCUUAAACCGGAUUGUAAUGCAGAUGGUGGACCAGACCGUUCCAUGGGACUGUUUGGCUCCAAUGGUGAAGCACAAGGGUUAUUGUCUACAAAAUCAGGCUGCCAUGCCAUUGAGAUAUGAGCCAUAUAAACUGCCUUGGGUGAGAAGGGUUUAAGCUGACCAGGACAUCGCUUAAGGUCGACUAGCAUUUCAACAUUAUUGAGCUCAACCACAGCAGAGAUAUGAUUAUAUGAGUCGAUGCUAGCAGAAAAUCUCAGAUCAGUAGGGAAACCCUGAUCAAGAAAUUUAACCGAAAUGCCAAGUUAUCAGAACCAAUCAAUGACAUGAGGAAAUUGGAGUUAUAACCAAAGCCACUGAUCACGUUUUUAUACAGUACAUACCAUUACAAGCUUACUGUCAAGACCAACAGCAUCAGCUAGAACUUUAAAGAGGAUUGCUCGUGCACGACAAGAACCAUGCUUGAUUUGUCCUAGCAGGGUAAACCCUUGAACGUCAAAAUAUUGCAGCGUUCUUGCCGGACUCUGCAGAGUUUUUCUUUUAUAUAUAUUUGCCACCUGCCAUAAGAAGGAAAAAUCCAAUUCAGAUUUCCCGAUAAUCUAAAAGAAUAUAAUGAGGUUGCUGAAAUAAUGUGAUGUGCCUUAAGAGUCUAAUAAAUGGGAUUACAGUUAUUUGUUUUCUUAUUCAGAACCAAAUAUUUAUUGCAUGCAGCGAUAAGAUAAAGUAACAAAAUGACAUGCAUUGUCGCCAAAGUUAGUUCACUAGAAAAUGAGAUGAUAAAAAGAUGCUCGCCCAUUCUUACCAGUCCAGCAAUUUUCUUAAUAACUUUAUCGGAGUCCAAUCCUGUGACAAGUUUGAUGACAAACUCCUUUAUCAAAACAAGCUGUAUAUCGUUCUUAAGAUCUACAAAAAUCGCAUCAGCCUUAAGACGAUCUUCCCCCAGCGCAUUAAUUUCUUCCAAUGUAGGAAUGCUUUUAAAAUGCAUCAAUCUCUCAACCUGUUGAAAAAUUCAACAACAUAAUAAGAUAAGAAAAUGAUUGUUGACAAACAGCAGCACGUAACCAAGCAUUAAUAAAGCUAACUGAAAUAUUAUUGGACAAAGAUAAUACCAACCUAAAGAUAGCUUACCGGGAUCACAGUGUAAAAACCACUUGGGAUCGGGUCUGAUAAGGACCCAGUACUCCAAAAAAUAUUCGAUGCUUCAUAACUUGACACCCCAUCUUGAUCAAGAUUAGAGGUUUCUGCUAGUGAUCCCUGACAUACAGGCACGUAUAUCUUCUCAACUUCUGAAGGCCUCAAGGUAGGACUUGGUGGAUUUGGUUCUGAUGGUCCAGCAUCAUCAGUAUUAGAGGUUUCUACUAGUGAUCCCUGACAUACAGGCUCGGAUGUCUCCUCAACUUCUGAAGGCCUCAAGGUAGGACUUGGAGGUCUUGGUUCUGAUGGUCCAGCAGCAUCUCUUGCCUCUACCACAGUCAUCUCCCUAAGGUCUAAAAUCACAAGAGUGUCUCCUUAGCCCAUAGGUUUCACUCAAGAAAAGACGAAUAACGUAGGUACCAAAAUAUUAAGAAUCAAACUUCGCUUACCAGUAGCUUGGACCUCUAGGUCAGCUAACCUACAUAGGCAAAAGCAGAAUGGUUAAGUAAAUAUAGACUCGGAUAUACUGUUGCAGAAAUAAAUGUUUCAGUGACAUACUAAGUUGCAUUCCAUAUAUUCCUUAUCAAAGCAUUUAACUAGUAGACAAUUCUCAAAGACUGGCUACAAAACUUAUUCAAAGUGUUGGACUUUUCGAUACUUAUAGAAGAGAUUCACUUCAAUAAUUCAGCCUCAGAACUUACGACAAGAUCACGGAACCAUUUGAUUCCACCACUGAUCCUCGGUGACCUCUGCAACACUUAGCUCCCAUUUUCAAGUCCUCGGUUGCAAAAUUUCAAAUUCCUGCAUAGAUUUCAAAACCCAUUUCAAAAUAAAAUCCCACCAACUUCGAUGGAUUCAAACACACAAGAACCCAUAAACCAAACGGUCUAAAAUCAUAUAAGAAAAGGCUAAAGAGCAAAAGAAGAAUAAGGGUUUAUGAAAAAACUCACAGAAAGCAGAUAAACGUCCUUCCAAUUCCAAAAUCCAGCAAUCAAUCUGCUUAAAUCGCACUGCGAAACAAGAGAAAGACAGAAGAGAGAUCUGAAGAUUGCCAUGAUCAAGCAACAAAGAGCUAAACGUACACACAUAUAGAGUAUGUGUACGUAUAUGCAUAGAGAUUUGCAACAGAGAUUCAUGAGAUAAAAAUUGGAUUUUGGAGGUUUUGAAAGUUUUGAUUUUGAUGGCGGAAGAAGCAAAAACACAGUCAAGGGGUUUUACGAAAGUGACGAAGCAAGUCACGUGCGAGGGAUUAUGAGUCACGUGCCGAGAAGCACUUAUUCACAGGAUAUAUUUCAUAAGUACAAUUUUGUCCUCUACCUACAUGGAUUGUUUUUGUCAUCCAUUUCUAUCUCAAAGAUCUUCGAAACAAGAUACAUAUUUGAUAGUCAUUACACUAUGAAUGACAAUAUAUUAUCAGAUUGUUCAUGCAUAUGAGAUAGAUUUCUUAAAAGAGGAUGAUGUAAAUGAACAAGAAUCUAACAAGAGUUUGAUGAAAAAUGAGGAUGAACUUUUUUUGAAAAGAGUAUAAUAGAAAAUCAACGAAUGUAUUCAAUCUUCGAAAAAGAUUGCAAUAAGAAUGACUCAAGAGAAUUCAUCCUACUUCAAUAUUGAUGUUGAUUAUGAUACUUACACGUCAACAACAACAGAUCAUCAAAGUGUUUGGCAGUGCGGCUAUUUCUUUGUUUGUCAAAAACCUGACAUUUCUAUCAUUUCAUGUAUUCUCUCAAUGAACUCAAUAAGAUAUCACACAUUUUGGUUUAUAAAGAAAUCCCUCCAUUUAUAUAGUACUUACAUAAAGAAAAGUGUUUGAGAAUUUUGUUUUGGUUAUCUAAAUAUUGACAUUUUCAAUUAAUGUGAUUCUCACUUUUUUCUUAAAGAAAUAUUUAUUUUUAAAGUUUGAAGAGCUAUAAGAGGAAUUAGACAUUUUGCGAAGGGAAUAAAAACUUGAAAAUAAAGAAAACAAUUUUAUUAAUAAUUAUAUUGUCCAGGUGUAUAUACUUUAUUUCUUUGUAUAUAAAAAUUAGCAUCAAAUAUAUUUGGUAAGUACGUUUUAGACAAGUAUGGUAAAUGACAGCCAAGUACUACAUGACUCAUAUUUUAUAUAAUUAAUUUCAUAUUUUAAAUUUAUAUCUAUAUCUACAUUAACAUGAAAUAAAAAAGAUUUCAUGUAUUGAUAAAAUAAGCUAGUUUGUCAUAAUUUCCUAUAUCUUAAAUCUUACCAAUUACCAUCUUCUAAAAGUUUCUCUUACCACACAAAAAAAAAAUCUUCAAAACAUUUCUCCUAUGCAAAACUUGAGGACAAUUUAUAAAACAACAUAGUUAAGCCCAUUAACUAAUAUUAUGGGCCUUAAGAAACGCAAAACAAACUCGUUUAAUAGAAAAGAUUUCUCCGAUGCAAAAACUUGAGGACAAUUUAUGAAAACAAUAUAAUUAAGCCCAUUAACCAAUAUUAUGGGCCUUAAGAAACCCAAAACAAACUCGUUUAAAAGUCAUCGUCCUCCGUAAACCCUGAAUCUUCCUUCACAGAACCCUAAAUAACUUUUCUUUUCCUCCGACCACCGCAGCUCAGCCGCAACCGCCGCCACCACUUAUGUCAAGAGUAAGUCCCAAGACUGUGGACGAUGCAGUUAAGGCUCUGGUCAAAGAGGGAAACGAAAAAUCAAGGACGGAGAAGCCACAGCUUCUAGAAGAAGACGGAUUCUUUUACCUAGUCGUAGCCCUAAAGAAGAUUCCACAGAGGAAUUUUACGAACGCUUAUCGUAUUCCUCUCCCGCAUCCGCUAAUUAACACUACCGAAGACUCACCGGAGCUCUGUCUCAUCAUCGACGACAGACCUGAAAGUGGUCUCACCGAGGAAGAUGCGAAGAAGAAUAUCAAAUCAGAGAACAUACCAAUCACGAAAGUUGUUAAGCUUUCGAAGCUGAAAUCGGAUUAUGGAUCAUUCGAAUCGAAACGGAAGCUUUGUGAUUCAUACGAUAUGUUUUUCUCAGAUCGGAGAGUGAUUCCUAUGUUGCCAAAAUUGAUUGGGAAGAAGUUCUUUCAGAGCAAGAAGACUCCUGUGGCUAUUGAUUUGAAGCAUAUGAAUUGGAAAGAGCAGAUUGAGAAAGCUUGUGGUGCUGCUAUGUUCUUCAUGAGGACUGGGUCUUGUAGUGCGAUCAAAGUUGCGAAAUUGUCCAUGGAAAGCGAUGAUAUCGUUGAGAAUGUGACGGCGACUUUGAAUGGUGUUGUUGAUGUUUUGCCUAGUAGGUGGAAAUACAUAAGAUCUUUGCAUUUGAAGUUAUCUGAGAGUUUAUCUUUGCCAUUAUAUCAGACAGUGCCUUAUUUGCAGCUCAAGAUUGAUCCUUUAGGUGUUGAAGAAGUUAAGAAUGGUGAAGGAUUAGCUAAAAGUGAUGUUGAUGAUAGUAGUAGUAAGAGUGUGAAGACAAAGAAGAAGAAUGGAAAGAUUCAUGAGGUUAGAUAUAUGGAUAGUAAUGUAUCUGAGACUCUUGGUGAUGAUGAAUUCGAUAGGAGUGUUGGAGAAGAUGAGGUUGCUGAUGAUCUCAAUGCUUCUGGAGAUAAGAAGAAGAGGAAGAAGAUGAGUAGUAGUAAGUCUGCAGUGAGUGGGAAACCAGACAUUGUGAAGAGUAAGAAUGGGCAAAAGUCGAAAAAGCUAAAGAAGGACAUUGAUGAGUCUGGUGGUGGAUUCAAAGCUAAGACUAAGAGGAGGUGAACCAAGAAAAGAAGAUUUUAUAUUAAUGUCGUUAUAACUAAGUAUUCUAUUCUUUCUGCUUGAGUGAUUUUUUUGGAUACUGAUUAUGACUUUGUCUUAUUAUGGUAUCAUCAUCAUGAUUCUUAUAUAUUUAGGACUUUUAUUAUCGUUUACUAUUUCAUCAAACUAGUGACUUGCCAUGUAGUUGAUUUGGUGGUUUUGACGAGGAAACAUAUUAUUACAUGUGUUUUGUUGCAUUCCAGAAUUGGUGUUGUAUUGAAUGCAGAGAAACCGCUAAGGAUAAGUACUUGCAGGAUCUGACUCAAGCCUGAUCCAGAUCCUGGCUAAGUACUCAUCCCAUGAAACGGCUAAGGAAAACAAAAGUCUCUACUCUUGAAUCUCUUUUAAAGUUAAACUUCAUCUCUCUAGUAUGUUGGUUACGGUUCUGAUGAUGUCGACAACAGAGAGAGCGAGAGCAUUGUGUUGAUAUCAUCUGUUGGUUUUUGCCUGCAAUUUCCAAACUCAGGCAACUGUAUCCCACCUCCGGACAUUGAUUUCAAUCGUUUGACUGAUGAUACUUCUUCAUCUCGGACUCUUUUCUCAUUGUUCUUCUUCCUAAUCUGCAUAAGAUUUCACCAAGAUUACAGUACCUUCCUCGGUUUUUAACAAAACUGUUCCUCUAUAACUCUUAAAACGAAAGUAGGUAGUUACCUCGAGUAGAGGCAGAGUCUUGUUCUCUGUGCUGUCUCGGUCAUUUCUGCAUAACCCGCUAAACCAGCUCGAAGGUCGCAUAAGAAAGUUACCUCCAAGAUUUGUAACGACCGCGUCUUGAUUGAGUACCCUACAGAAAAGAAUGCAAUUUUAACUUCCUUGGUCGGAUCGGAUAUACAAAUGUGAAACAUUUUAGUAACUGGAACUUGUUUCUUUGUAUGACCUCGAAGGAACGGUUUUAGAGUUAUAGGCAUGUCUUAAAUCGCUAUGAGGGAUACAUCGAGAGUCGAUCAUGUCCAUCAAAUAGCUUCUUUGUCCACUCAUGAAAGCUCCAAAUCCUGUUCAAAAGUCAUUUCCAUCAAUUAUGAAACCCAGUGAAGGAAUGGUAAAUGUCUGCGGAUCAAAACUAACUUACCAGGGCGAGAAGACGGCUCGAGCUUCUUACUUCGAUACAUCUUGAAAUCAGAAACAUGAAAACAUUGAAAAAGAUGAACAAAACUGAGAUAAUCUUAGAAUAACAGACGAUGAAGAUUACCUGUAAAUGACUCUUGACAUGUGCAAUACUCAAUCCUUUUAGAUUCAUCAUCUCAAGAACCAAUUUCGGCGUCGCUCCUUUAAAAUCAUACAACAAUUACAUUACAAAGCUGAGAGAGAGAAAGAGAGAAAGAGACGUGGAGAGAGAGAACAAGAAUCCUACUGUCUGGACCGCCUAGUCGUUGGACAGCACGAACGAAGGAGAGAUGAAGAUCAGGCGUCCAACGAAGCCGAGGCAUGUUGGACCGAAUAUACUGUCUAACGUUAUUCGUGAUUUGGUCUUCGUCUUCCACUGAUGACUCUUCUUCAUUGUUCUUCUCCACUGUUUCUUCUCUGUUCAGGUCAAGCCACGUGGAGCAUUUUCCCGGCGAAGAUCUCCCGGCCAUGUCUCUCCGGCGAGAGUGUCUUUAGCUAGCUCUCGAGAUCAAUUACUCAAAAACAAACAAAAAAAAACCCAUGAGAGAGGUUAAAUCUCUAUGAUAAUUUCGGCGUUGGCUUCAAUAAUACUAGCUAUAAUCAUAUAUAUACACUUAUAAGUAUAUAAUAUAGUCUUAUUUGUCGUAAACUAUAGUAUAUAAUUAUAUAGAUAUAUAAAAUUCUUAUCUAUGUCAUGCAUGUUUACGUAUAAUUGUAUGUUUUUUUUUAAUGGAAAAGUGUGUUGGAAUCUUCCGUUUGGUGAAAUCACAUUAGUUAUUAGGUUUUGCUUCAUUUUUGUUAACAUACCAGAAAAAUAUCCGUUUGUUCUUUUAGUGACAAUGACAUGUAAACUUAUCUCCUUUACUUCUUAAAAAUAAUAUCUUUCUUUAAACAAGAUUUAAAUAUGGUGAAUUUGAAUAUGAAUUCAGAUUCCAAAAACUAUACCAUUUCUUAAAACAUCUUCUGUUUACCUAACGUGCCUUUGAUAUAUAUCAUGUGACAAUGGCUAGGCUAUUUAAAUUGGUUAAUUAAUCAUAUAUUUGAUAUCAAGCAUAUUGGUUCAAAUAGUCCAGUCUAUAUGUAUACACAAUUGGCAGUCGAAUAUUUUGUGUCAUUAGAAUUGUUGUUUUGUGAAUGAUGUAUCAAACAUUUCAAUCCGACCAAACCACUCUUGUUUUUCUAACAAUUUUCUCUUUAAUAAUUUCCAAUUAAGUUGACCUUUGCCGGAGACUACGCUUUACCCUUUUGUCAUAUUAAACCACGUUUUUGAGUGUCUCCAAAACAACUUAAAAAAAUAAAAAUCAGAUUAGCAUUGGGGAACUCAAACGGAACAUGAGAACUAUCGAUCUAAGCCGAUUGAUUCGAACCCUGAUAGACAAAAGGUACAAACUAUUGUCUACCUCUCAACCGAUUACUAUGUGGUGGAAUGAAUUACGUUUCUACGCAUUUGGUUUUAUCAUGAUGGCUAUUGAUCUAUAUUCAUGUUUCUCAUAUACUUAGGUUAAAUACAUGACGGUCUUCAAUCCCAACGUUUGAAAACAGAAUUUAAAUAAAAACUUAAGAGAGAAGGGAGUUUUGUCAAAUGGUUAAGGAUGUGAUUCCCAAAGAUUCUUGAGUUCACGUAUGUACAAAACAGAAGUUGUCUUUAUCUUUUUGGUUUUAUUAUUGGUGACCCUUUUCAAUGGGCAUUGGGUUACACACCUCCAUAUAUUAGUAUUUGGUUUCUCUUCGAGAAUUGGCUAACUAUAUGUUUUUGUAGGGCUUACCAACUUACCAAUCAGUAUAUAAUUCGAGAGAGGUAACUAAUAAAUAAUUACGGGUAUAUUAUCUUUGAAUGCAAUUUUUUAAUUGUUCAAAUUAGGCAAAGCAACUUUCUUUCUAGAGUGCAAUCUUUGUCUUUAUUGUCAUCUUGUGAGUUGAAUUAGUAUUUGUAAACAUAGAUAAGCUGUCGUUAAUCAUAAAUUCUCAAAAUAAGUUUCAAAUCAAGAAAAAUAAGUACAAACACUUUUUACAAAAUUGAACCAAGUUUUAUGUGAAAUUAAUAAGGACCUCAAACCCUACACCAAAUUAAUUAUAAAUCGUCCCGAUGCAAAUUUCCGACACUCUAUGUCUAUGCACACACAUAUCUAUACAAGCAUUUUGGAACAUAUAUGAAAACGCGAUGGGAUCAAAUUUCAACGCUCGUAUUCAUAUAAACACAGCUUGAAUGUUAUAGAAUUUCUAUGAAGUCUUUUACCAUGAUCGCCCUCGAUCUUCAAAUCUAGGGUUAUGGACAGAUAGAGAGAGAAAGAAAGAUAGGAGAUGAGAGAGAAGAGAAGAUAGGACAAACAUUCGAAGUAAUUAACUAAGAUUGAAGAGAGCAUUGAUGGGAGAGAAGGAAUCGUAGAGGCUCAUGUGGGCACUAAGAAAGAUGAGGAAACUUUGUUUUGUCCUAACCUGUUUACGUACCGACACUUCAUUCACAAUUCCUCCAUUUCCCAUGCUCUCUUUUUAUGGAAUAUAUAAUUUCAAAUUGUUUCAAUAGUUCUUGAAUUUCUUUAAACGACAUGAAUUUCUUUGGUUAAGAGAAUCUUUUGUCGAGUUCUACUUCUUCCAAGAAAAUUCUUUUAUAUUUUACCAUUUCAGAGGAUUUUUUUUUUUGUGAAUGUUUACUAGAUACGUUUUAUAUGUACAAACCAUUUAUUUUUUGACAAAAAAUAUAACAACUGUUUCCCUAAAGGACGUUUUAUAUGCACAAAACCAUUUUUAAAUGUAAAAAGGACGUUGAUCCAGUUGAUAUAUUUAUUUAUUAUGCAUGCAAGAAGCUAAAAAAUUCUGCAUGUUGCCCUAAAGAAUCGCCGCAAAAUGAGGCACCGUCUUUGAAUUCUUCCUCAUCACAUGCCUACGUAUCUUUAGGACCAUGAUUAUUAGCUUCGAUCUUCUUUUCUCAAAAGUUUUAUUUAUACACUCAUAAGAAAAAUGCAUUAUAAUGAAGAGUAACAAUUAACAAAUUAAUAACGUAACAUAGUAAUGGUUUCUCUUGAUCUUUUCUAAGUUGUUUCCAUGCUUACUUUUGUUCGUGGUUGCGUACUUGCGUUCAAAGCGGUUGGGAUCAAAGGGUAUCACACCUCAAUCAGCAUGUUAAAAAUUUCCACGAUUAUAUAAACUUUACUCAUGAAGGAACGGGCUCAUCUAUUUCAAUUUUCAACCAUGAUUACCCCGAAAUGCUUUCUUUAUUCUCUUUAUAAUCCUGGUCUUUGGGUCUAGGUCUAGGUCUAGGUUGGGACCAUAUCAAUGUUCGUUGUUAAACAUUUUGUUUUUUUUAUAACCAAAGAAUCUGGACCAAAAUCUAGACUAUUCUCAUUUGCCCUGUAGAUUACAAAUCGGAUAUUCUUACCAUUUAAGACGUCUAGUAUUGAAAUCGCAAUGCAAAUUUUUUGGAUCCUAGUCCCUAAGCCCAUGCUUCAACUACAUAUAAACCACUAUGAUUCUAUGAAUUAGUUUGGUUGUUCAACUUCAUCAUCAUAAAUAAUUGAUAAUUCUGAUUUUCUUCAUGAAAACCGAAAUGGAUAAAGUGGAGAGCUAAUUUAUCCAUUGACCAAAAAAUAAAACGAGAGGAAUGAAAUUCCAUUGAAAUCCACUAAGCAAAUAGAGUGUAUCCACUAAUUUUAUGAUAAUAUCCACUAAGUCCUUACGUAAUAAAGACUCAGCCAGCCGCUUGGUAGAGGGAGAUGGGAUUUAGUCUUACGUAGUAGCCAGAAUGUGAUUUUGUUUUUUGUUCAGUUUUGCUUUGUUAGACUUAGAAAAAGCCAACGACGCCAUUUCAUUCCCUUAUUUUUUAAAAACAGUAAGAUCACACAUCCCAUGAACUUUACUCCGAUUUCCAAAUCAAUCCCAACUUAGUUACCAACUGCACAACCUACAAAUUGGGCGUAUCGGGGCAACUUCUAUGCUGGUGUGACCUUACCAUAUGAAGGAAGAAACACAACUAUGCAAAACGAGGUUUAAGGAUUUUGUAAACACAACCAUUAGAGAAGUCUAGUACCGAAGACUAAAAACCAUUAGAAGUCUUUUGCAAUAUAAUGAAACGGAGACACACGGUGUAUCACAAAUUAGUAUGUACAAUCCCGUUUGCAAUAUAAAAAGACCCCCCAAAUUAUUUCCGAAAGGAAUAUAAAUAAAAAAUAAAAACCCGAAGCCGCCCAAAUUAUGUGACAAGUAAAGAUUAGAUCAUCAUCAAGUUCUAAUGACAGGACCUCUGUACGGAAUUCGUCGUAUCACAAAGUCAUCAGGCGGUUGAAAUUCCUCAAGCCAUGUCACGUCUGUGACCACUUCUCCAUCCACUUCUAAUUCACCUGCUCCAGUUCACAAUCCAAAUCAAUAUCACUAAAGGUUCUAAUAUGGUUCUGGGAUCGGGUUUUUGGAGAGCUUAGUUGUAUUACCUGGUAAGUCUUCUCUUCUGGAUUUCCGGAAGUAAGUGCAAUGCCGAUCAUGCUCUGAAGAGUAAGGUGGAGCUAAGAUGUCAAGAAUAGCACAAUGGGUGAUGGCUUUGAAACAGUGAAUGUUGCCACCACUUUUCGGAUAUAAUGUUGUUACUGGGCUUUGAGCCGUCAUCUCAGUAUCCUUCACCAGUUUAGCAGGUCUUGCUUCUUAUGAAUCAAAAUAGUUUACAAUUAGACCAGAAGAGUGAUUGGAUAAAAACUGAGAGAGUAACAGAAAGAAGACGGUUACCUUGUGAUGGAUCCUCUGGUUCGGUCAGUUGAGGCUCUAGCCAAUCAUAUGACUUCACAUGCAUUGAACCAUAAACGAGCUUGCUUAGCACGGUCAUGCCCGGAUGGUUAUGAAGAGGUAUCAUAGAAGAAGGUGGCAUACAGAAGAUUCCUAUCUGUUUUGACAACAGAGGCAAAAUGAACCAAGUGAGAGAUAACAUUGGUGGCAGUAUCAGGAAGAUAAAACACCCAACUAGAGACAGACUCAGAAUUGACUCGAACUGUGUUUACUCAUACUUUCUAGACCAUUUGUCAUAGGCUUUUUUGCAGACUUCAGGCUCAUGGCUUGAAUAGUUGGUUCCUGAGAUUCUCUCAAGGACCAUGUUUGGAUGCCCCCCUAUUCCCCUAAUUUUGAAUAUGCGGAAAAGGAGAAGAUUAAAUAUCCACUAAAAUUUUUGUCUCAGGAUUGGCUAUAGAGUGUUUUAACCUUGAACGGUAUUUGCAUAUUAUUCCAAGCAGAACCAUUGCUACUUAAACCUAGGAAGUUAAAAUGGGACUCUUAUGCUAUUUUGUAUCUGAAUCAUCCUAAAGUGGAUCACAAAAGAUUCACCCAAACCUUAAACAGCAUUCAAGACCAAUCAGCCAUAGAGUUUUCAAAUCAGUAUGCUUACAGAGAAACUGUCACACUCAUGCAAAUGAAGAUACUUUAUUGCUGGGGGAGACUGAUUACUUCCAUUGCGUUCAUUGAGAGGACCAGACCUGGACCGUGCCAAUUGAGCAUCCUGCUCAAUUCCAACAUCAGAUGGCUUGAUUUUCUCUGAAACAUAGAUUACAAAUAAGGUUGGUAAGUGCAACAGGGGACCACUGCAUUGAAGACUAAAGUGAGAUAUAUAUGAUUACUCAGUACCACCAACACCCUUAACUAAUACACUCUUAUUAGGUAAUUUGCAGAAUGAUCAGAUAAACGAAUUCACAUGUUGUGGGCCACAAAAUUCAUAAAAAAAAAAAAGUCCUUGUCACAAGCACUCAAAAAGAUAACAAUGAUCGGCCAAAUAACAGAUGCGAUAAACUGAAAACCAGUGGACAAAGAUUCAUUGAACAAUAUGUGCGUAUAAUCAUACCCAAGACAUUGCGAACCUUCUCCAGAGCAUCUUCUGUUAUUGGUCCGUCUGAAGAGAAAGACGCCUUGCAAGUAUUGUAAAGCCUCUGAGCAAAGUAAGGCAUGAUCUGAAUCCAAUUCAAAAGUUUCUCAAGCUAACUCAGCUAUGGUAACAGAGGAAAAGAGCCGUUCCCAGUUUUCUAAGACACAACUGAUGAUACUAAAACUUCCAAGACUUAUAACCAUUUCCUUCUUCUUCAACAUAGAAACAUUUCUGCCUGAAACAAGCCAAAGAAAAGUAAAAACAAGCUUGAUAUAAGAAAAAUGUACCGAUUCAACAAAUUAUUCUCAAUCAAAUGCGACUCGGAUGAGCAUCGUGCACAGAGGAUUCGGAACCAAACAUAAUCAGUGAAUCAUAAAAGCAUCAUUAUUACUCGAACUUGGGAAAUGAAUCGCACAUAUACAAAUUCAGAACAUCAAAACGUUAACCAUUUCGGUUUGAAAACUGGAUAUAAUCGAAUUGAGCUAUAUAAUCAGCAAAUUUUAAAGCAUUUACCAUCCACUAAUCUUAAGAAUCUCACAGAUGAAGGACAUGUAAUCUAAAUCAAUACAAAAUUCGAGCUCAAAAUCGGAGAUUCGAUUUUCUCAAAUUAACGAAUGCGUCGAGAGUUAAAACGGCAAGCAACAGAGCAAAAACCAAACGGAAUUGAAUACAAACACAGAAGAGAAUGAUUAAGCUAGAAUAGACCUGAGGUGAGAGUAAUGGUUGCGUAAGAUCCGGAAGAAAUAGAAUCAAUCUCGGUAGAAGAAGUUGAAGACGAAGAAAGAAGAAGAAGAAGAACAACAAGGCUCUAGAGUAAAAAAGAGUAAAAAAUUAAAAGAGAAUCCAAUAUUUUUAAUUUUGUUGCCAUUUGUGCCACGAGAUAUUUCUUCUCAACUUGGACCCCAUUUACUAAUUUACUAAAUCACCCCUUGGUAACUAAAAUUGCAAAAUAAACGACAUACCAACUCUUUUCUAAUACCAACAAACACUUCUUGGUUAUCGACCUACAAUAUGAAUUUAGAACAAAAGAUGAUAACUUAUCUUAUGCAUCUCUUUUAGUAAAUAGCGUGGAAGUUAUACUUUAAUGUACAAAGCUUAAAAUUGGUGAUAAAAAUUCAAAAUACAAAUUUUUGAUAGUACUUUCCCCUUGAUUCUUUAGAUAAAAAGGUUUAUGUAAUUUUGUUAAACCAAUUAUUAUCUUAGAAAAAUAAAAAAAAAAAGUAGCGUGAAGCUCACGCACGGCUUUUGCUAUUUUAUUCCCAGUUUUCUCUCAUAUUCUUUUCUAACUUGUCACCUGCAGAGAAAGAAAGAAGCCCUAGAUUUUGUCAAAAGGCGGUUGCAGAACAAAAAACCAUGGCCGGAAUUGGACCGAUAACUCAGGAUUGGGAGCCGGUGGUGAUCCGUAAGAAACCCGCUAACGCCGCUGCCAAGCGCGACGAGAAAACUGUCAACGCCGCUCGUCGAUCCGGCGCCGAUAUCGAGACCGUCAGAAAAUGUUCGUUCUUCUUUCCUUUCCCUAAUUUCUAGACCUAUCUUAGCUCCUGUUGAUGUUAUCCGGUUUGAUCUAGGGCUCUCUAGUAUAAUAUUUACUUGAUUUUGCUAUUGGAGGUUCGAUUUCGUUUUUGAUUGAACUAGCCUUCAAUGCCUUGGGGUUAUUGUGAUUCAUGAUAAGGAGAUCUUUUUAGGGUUUAUGUUCGUUGUCAAUUGAAAUUUCCGGUGUAUCUGUAUUGCUGAUUUAGUUGUUGUUCAUAUUAGGUCGAUAAUUUCUGCUGGUUUUAUUUUGGUUUUUAUGUGCAAUUUCUAGAUUUGGCUUCCAUCUAACAUUGAUUUUGUGUGUGUGUUGGGUUUAGUCAAUGCUGGAACCAACAAGGCGGCAUCAAGCGGCACAUCUCUGAACACAAAAAUGCUUGAUGAUGACACUGAGAACCUUACUCGUAAGUCUUAUCUUUAAUCAUUUGGUUUAUUAAUGGUGAAUUGAUUUCCCUAGUGUCUAGAAUAUGGUAGUGUCAGGCUCUGUAUCUAGGCUAAUGUGUUCAUUUCUUGUUUCAAAGUGUUCAACGUAUUGGAAAACUGUUCUUAUAUGAGUAGAGUCUGUCUAUCUUUCUGCCUGUGAGUCUUUGAUGGUUAUAGUGAGAGGAACUUUUUAUUGAUUGAUGUGUAUUGGAUGCUGAAGCUUCAUGUUUUGAAUUAUGCAAUUGUGAAUUCAGAUGAACGUGUGCCUACUGAGCUAAAGAAAGCCAUUAUGCAAGCCAGGACAGACAAGAAGCUAACCCAGUCCCAACUUGCUCAAGUAUAUUAUCCUUCUCUCUAUAUGUCCCUUAUUAUUACCCUAUUUUGUAACUCGGUUCAUGACAAAGUGUUUGUUUCUUUUUGUGUAGAUCAUCAAUGAGAAGCCACAAGUGAUUCAAGAGUAUGAGUCUGGCAAAGCUAUACCCAACCAGCAAAUCCUUUCUAAGCUGGAGAGAGCGCUUGGAGCUAAGCUUCGUGGAAAGAAGUGAGCCAAGUUCUACUGAUGUAGCAAGUAACAAGAAUCAAUGCUUUCGUCUAAUGCCGUAACUUUGCCAAGAAGAAUAUUUUCUGAUUGUAAGAAAGCAAAACCGUUUGAAUGUUUGUUUCGUUGAUGGAAUCUCUAUCUCAUAAACUCAUAUCAAUAUAAUAACUUGGGUCUUUUCAUCACAUAGUUGAACUGCUUAUUGUUGAUUUAUCAUGACCUUAGAGAAAAAUACAGAAAUACAAUUUAGAAUUCAGGUACAGGUUCUUCUUCAACGGGAGCAAGAACCCAUUCACCAUCUUCGUUCUUGAUCAGUCCUUUGUUCUUCUCUACCCACCAAGAUCCUGGCACCAAACACUCAGCUUUCAAGAACUCGCAUGACUUGUUCACUAAUGCAAUACUUCUCUUAACCAUCAGUUUAAACUCUCCUUUCUUCCCAUUCCAUCCAGCUACAACAUGUAACAUCGCCUGCACACAUACAUGGAAAAAAUAUGUAAAAGUUUCUACUCUGUAUCGUUUGAGUCAAAUUUGAAAGAUUCUUCUCACAGAUUCUUACCUGAAGAUUAUGCCAAUCCCCUGGAUUCCUUGAAUCGCUUAGGAACGGUGACUUCUUUGUAUCGAUCACAAAGUUUAUUCCUAUGUCCACAUACCCUAAAAGUCCCCCUGGGUAUCGAGUUAAGAGAUCAAUCGUGUUCCUUACAUGGAGGAUCUUUAAGUUCUUGUGACUCAUUACUUCGUCUCUGAACUCCUUGUUUCCUACCUGUGGACAACCAAAGACUAUAGCAGUGACCGGAACAUCAUCACUGGAACCGUUCUCAGCUAUAUCAUAGGCGGCCAGAACAGCCUCUGUAGCUCCCAAGCUAUGUCCAGUCAACACAAUGCUCGGUUUCUCGUCCUUAUACUUCAACAGAAGCUCCUUGAUCUUGGCUAACAACUGUGACCGUAGACUCAGCUUAGUGAAUUUCGAUUCGGGGUGAUUAGAAGUAUAGAUUGUGAGCCACCCGAGCAUCACCUUACACCCUUCUUCAUCUUCACUGUCACUAUCAAAAGUCGUACCUUCAACUACACCACCAGAACCAUCCUGCUCGGGUCCGUGCAGCAAGGGGUCAGCUGAAGUUGGCCUAGCACCCAAAACAUUGACCCACUCAUAGUUCCUGCUCGUUCCUCUCAAAGCUAUAUAGAUCUCACGGCGUCCUAAAGCCUUAGACCGUUCAUCAGACGUGACAGCAAUGUAGCCAAACCAGUUAGACUCACGGUCCCAAGAAUCUCUUGAUUGUGAUUGGAGAAGCAAACCUUCGGGGAGAGAAACACGAGCUGUGGCGUAGAGGAAGUUUACAACCUCGUAGUCGGAAGCGUUUUCGAGCAUGACCUUGUCGAAGAAAGAAGAUUUGCCGUAGCGGCUGGCUCCACAGUACUUGGAGUUUUGGUCGUUGACGAAGGCAUCGUAGGUGGCUUGACAAAAGUCGCCACAACGUAAGAUGAGUUCCCUAAGUGAUUGGUCUAAUGGGUCUAAGAUAGUGUCCCAAUUCUUUGAGCCUAAGAGUUCUUCCCAUGAUGUGGUUGUUGUAGCCAUUAGAGAGAAAUGGUGUGUGUAAGGAGAUAAUAAGUGACUCUUGACUCUUAAGUUGUUUAACUUUAUACAAAUGGUUGUGGACUGGUGAUGAUGCUGUCUGACCCACUUAUGUCCAAAGCGAUAAAAGGUUAUCACUGGUGUGGGAAUAUUAUUGGCAUAUAGAAUUAUCCACAAACUUGCACAUCAUUCUCAACCAUACAAAAAAGAGUAAAAAUAAACCCAAUCAAAUAGAGAGAAGAAAAUUCAACCAAAUCAAUCGAUACACACGAAAAGAGACUUAUUGUUUGUUUGCAACUAAUCAAACGCGACGACAGGCUUGUCUUCGUCGUCCGGAAUGGCCAUGACCCAAUCACCAGCCUCGGUCUUGAGCAUGCCUUUGUUUUUCGCGACCCCACCAACACCCAUCCUUCAAUAGUGCAAAUGAUUUGUUAACCAAUGUUAUGUUUCAGUUAAUCACUUUCAUCUCCAAUAUAUCCCCCUUUGAUAACAUUGCAUCCUAGACCCGUUAACUAAUAUAUGAUGGGCCAUAAUAAAUCAAAGAUAAUUCAAAGCCCAAAAAGUGUAAAAAAGCCCAACAAAGUGACGAUCAUACGACGAACGAUAUCAAGUUAAGCUAUCAUGUUCGUCGUCGGUGAGAUUUCCCGGCGAAGCGAAAGCAGUGUUUCUCCGGUGGUUCAGGCAUCAGUCUGAUUUCAGACAACACAUCUCAUAGUAAUUUGAUUCUAACUGGCGAUUUCACUCUAGCUCGACCAAUUGUAUCCAAUUCUCGUAGCUGAGAGCAAUGGCUCUGAUCGAUGUCGCGAUAUCUUGUCUCAAUUCGAUCCGCGAAGUAAGAAAUCCGAAUUCUCUUUUUUUUUUUUUUUUUUUUUUUUUUCAUCUGGUCUCAUCUUGUUACACGUUUUGAUCUGCUGCACCUGAAUCAUUACGAUUUCUCCAUGAUCUCGUUUUGCUCGUUUUUGUGUGUUCUUGGGAAAUGUAAAAGUACCUUACUGUAAUCCUGAACAAGUAAGGUUUAGAUAUUUUGGAAAUGUUUUGUUUUGUAGAUAGAAGAGGAUGUAAAAGAUGCGAUUGUGUAUAUCGAUGCUGGCUGCACAGAAAGUUUUCAAUUUGUAGGAGCUUUCCCUUUGUUCUUGGAACUAGGUGCUCGAGCUGUCUGCAGUCUUGAAAACAUGACUUCCUUAGAUGCGGUAAGCUUGUUACCGUUUCUUUUUUUCCUGCACAAUGUUGGCUAAGGAAUAUCCUAUCAAUCAACGGUUAGUGUUGGUAAUUGAGGAUCUAGAUAAAGAACAGGAAGAUUGUUAUCCUCAUACUUUUGGUAUGAAGGGGAUCUUUUUACCUAGAAAGUGAGAAAUCUUCUGAUUUAAUUUAUAUGAUGUGACUUUUGAUGCCUUGUGCUCUAGGUGGCUGAUUGGAAUUCAAAGUCUGAUUGUGCCAAGAGAAUUGUGAUUAUGACAUCUCGACUUCUCAAUGAUGCUCAUCGGUAUAUGCUACGGUGUCUAAGCACCCAUGAAGGUGUUCAGCGCUGCACCGUAUUCACAUCUAUUUCAGAGGUGCUCUUCUUUAACGUUAUCCUUGGUCUCAUUCUUUAUUUAAUCUCUUUUUUUUCUCUGGAUAUAUAUAUUGGCUUUUUUAUUUUCUAGAACAAUCACAAGCUAUUUGACUUAUCAACACUAGUGAUCGUUAUAUAAUCAAAUUCAAAGUGAUUGUAAUGUAUUCUCUAACUUAAUUUAGCAGUUCUGCUUCUCUAUGCCUUCUUCAAAAUAAUUUUCCAUCUAUAAGAGACUCUUCAGAAUAUUUGUUUCUUUUCUUGCGUCAUUGAAUAUUAAUCUGAACGUUGUACAGGGGUCUCACUCAGCUAUCCCUGAUUCACCUCUAGGUCCAGACGCGUAUCGAGAGUAUGAAACCUUACUUGUUCAGGAUUACAAUGAACAUACUAAGAAAAGCGACAAAAUAUCUAAAGACAAAGGGGUUUCUAAGUUCUCUUCUGCACUUGAAUCCCUUACUAUGGAGCCUAUUGAAAGCGAAAAUGUAGAUAUUUCAUCAGGUGGUGCACAAGGUUUGGUUGUCUCAGUUCACCACUUCCCCUUGAUUAUUUGUCCUUUCACUCCUCGAGCGUUUGUCUUACCUUCCCAAGGAUCAGUCGCAGAAGCGUCCUUGUCCCGUCAACAUGAGGAUUCUCUUAGUUUUGGUUUGCCUCCCAUAAGUACUGGAUCUAUGUCUGACACUGAUGAUGUUCCUCCUGGUGCAACUCUUACCGCACAUUUUCUUUACCAGCUGGCCCUUAAGGUAAACUAACACUGCAGUAACCGCUUUGAACUUAAUUCACGAUGUUCAUGAAGUACGUGAGCUAGAACACUAGAAGAUAUCUGUUUCCCUUGUUUGUCAAUAAUUUAAUUUCUUCUGUACGUUUUUCUUAAAUUUGUGACCAUGUCGUCACUUUUUUAAAAUUGUAGAUGGAGUUGAAGUUGGAAAUAUUUUCACUUGGUGACCAAUCGAAGAAUGUUGGGAAGAUUCUAACAGACAUGUCAAGUGUUUAUGAUGUAGCGCGUCGUAAGCGAUCUGCUGGCUUGUUACUUGUUGACCGCACACUUGAUCUUAUCACUCCCUGCUGUCACGGGGAUUCACUUUUCGAUCGUAUCUUUUCAUCUUUGCCUCGGGCAGAAAGAUUUUCUUCACAAGCACAGCUUAAACAAGGGGUCCCAAGCAUCAAUCGUCCUUCUCUUGAUGUUCAAGUGCCGCUUGGGGAACUGCUUAAUGAAGAACCAAGCAAGAUUCGGGAUUCUGGUCUUCCUGAAGGAAUUGAAGCUUUUUUACGUGGCUGGGAUUCAUAUACCUCUGCUCCACAAAAUGUAGGUUUGUUUAAUGAAUGUGACAAGAAAUCUACCACCAACUGGACUGAACUACUAAAUGGAUCUCUUGUCGCUACUGAAUGUUUUAGAGGAACACCUUACUUAGAGGCCAUGAUUGAUAGGAAAACGAAGGAUGGAAGUGUACUGGUGAAGAAAUGGCUUCAAGAGGCUUUGCGUCGCGAAAAUAUCUCUGUUAACGUGAGAGCUCGUCCUGGUUAUGCUACAAAACCGGAGCUCCAGGCCAUGAUCAAAGCAUUGUCCCAAAGCCAGUCGUCUUUGUUGAAAAAUAAAGGGAUUAUUCAGUUAGGGGCAGCUACAGCCGCUGCUCUUGAUGAAUCUCAAAGUGCCAAAUGGGAUACUUUUAGCAGUGCGGAGAUGAUGUUAAACGUAAGUGCUGGUGAUACGAGUCAGGGUUUGGCUGCUCAAAUUAGUGACCUGAUCAACAAAAGCGCUGUGGCAGAACUUCAAGCGAAGAAAAACGAGAAACCAGAUUCCUCAUCACGAGGGCUGCUAUCUUUUCGUGAUGCCCUGCUUCUUACAAUAGUUGGUUACAUUCUUGCUGGCGAAAAUUUCCCUACAUCUGGCUCAGGUGGGCCUUUCUCUUGGCAAGAAGAGCAUUUUCUAAAAGAAGCCAUUGUCGAUGCUGUUCUGGAGAAUCCAUCAGCAGGAAAUCUCAAGUUUCUUAAUGGGUUGACAGAAGAGCUUGAGGGCAGAUUGAAUCGUCUCAAGUCUGAGGAAACCAAAGAAAUUCCCUCUGAUGAUCAAUUAGACAUUGAUGCUCUUGAUGAUGAUCCAUGGGGGAAAUGGGGUGACGAGGAAGAAGAAGAAGUUGACAAUAGUAAAGCAGACGAGUCCUAUGACGAUAUGCAGCUGAAACUGGAUUUGCGUGAUAGAGUAGACAGCUUAUUUAGGUUCCUCCACAAGUUAUCGAGUCUAAGAACAAGGAAUCUACCAUUAAGAGAAGGCUCAUUGGCUUCAGAGAGCAGCUUUCCUGGCGAGCCUUCUGGAAACAAAGGGCUAGUCUACAGGCUUAUAACAAAAGUGUUGAGCAAACAAGAGAUACCCGGUUUAGAAUACCAUUCUUCAACUGUUGGAAGAUUUAUUAAAAGCGGAUUUGGAAGGUUUGGUCUUGGUCAGGUUAGUUAGACCUUUCUCUCUACCCAUGACUUUCAUUUUCCUACACAAGAUAUACAUUAAUGUUUGGCAAUGCUAUUGCAGGCAAAACCAAGCCUGGCAGACCAGAGUGUCAUUCUUGUCUUUGUCAUUGGAGGUAUCAACGGUAUAGAGGUGAGUUUCUUCAUCACAAAAGUCACCUCGCAUUCACGUUGUAGGGCUAUAUUUUUUAUAACUGUCUAUGUUUCCUCCAUUGUUAAGGUUUUGGAAGCUCAAGAGGCUGUGUCAGAGAGCGGAAGACCAGACAUUAACUUGGUUAUUGGAGGAACGACACUUCUAACCCCCGACGACAUGUUUGAGUUAUUGUUGGGACAAUUCAGCCAUUUUUGAUAUCUUGCAAACUGACCUCACUCUCAUAAUCUCUGUUGUUAGCUUGUAACAUUAGAAGAAACAGAAAUACCCAUGAAUAAAUUAAUGAUCGAAUGUUAAAAUCUACAAAACAAUAGUUCCAUUUUCAAGAGAUAAGAAAAGAUUGGUUAUUAAUUGUGAAUAAGAGAUUUUUCAAAAAAAAAUCUCAAAUUAUUUAUAUCUUUGGUCCCUAAAGUUUUAUAACAUUUACAGAAAAGCUUUUAAGUUAAAAAUCAGAAAUCUCCUUAAACCCCCAAAAUCACAUUUCACACGAAAAACCUCGAGUGAGUGAAGAAACAAUGGCAGCUAUGAAGCUCCUACUCUCUCAAGCUCGCCGCCAAGGUCUAAUCAAACCCUUUUCGUCUCCAUUUCAACAAAUCCCAAGACUCUUCUCUUCAUCUUCAUCUUCAUCUUCAUCUUCAUCUUCAUCAUCCGAUUCGAAUCCAUCUCCCGAUUCAAACGAAUCUCGCAAAAAGGCUGUUACAAUCGAGCCAGUAUCGUACGCGGCCAAACCCAAGGAUCAGAAAUCUGAACCGAAAAAUGUUGAAUCGACGGAGAACCUUCAGUCUCCAGAAUCAGCGAACUGGACUCGUGAAGAAAUCCGAUAUGUGAAAGACUCUCCUUCGAUCAAUCCGGUUUCUUACGCUCAGCGUGUGGCUCCACUUCCGGAGGAUCGUGUCGCCGGUGAGAAUGAAGGAGAUAGAACUCCAGAGGAGAUGGAGAGGGAGAGGAAGAGGAUUGAAUUAGAGAAUCGAGCUAGAAGAAGGUUUUUAAGAGCUAAUGCUGUUGAAGAAGAUACUUCUUCACUUCCUUUGCCAACUUUGCUUAAACCAGAGUUGAAGCAUGGAAAGAAACCUAUUUUCGAUCUCAUGGAGGCCAUUAGAGAGAUUAAGGUCAGGAUUCUUAAUAUGAGCUGCCAUUGUAAUAGAAUGGAAGCUACACUAUUUAGGGUUCUUUUAAUUUAUUUAUUUUGUGUCAAAGGAUUAAUUUUUUUGCUUGUUUCGUAGUUAGGGGAUUUCAAAUGACUAUUAUAAAGGAAGCUAUGAUGAUUAGGAUCAUAUGACUAUAUAAUGUGAAACAUAAGGAGUCUUGGAAGAAUUGUUAGACGUUGUGGAUUAGUUUAGAUCAUGCAAGUUUUGUGUAAUGGUGGUACUGUGAGAUUUGUGGAUUCUGUAAACUGGUAAUAGUUGUUGUUGCUGAGUUGAUUUACAAGUUGAGUGAGUGAGGGCAAUGCAUCCCUUUUGUUCGUAUGGUUUUCAUUUCUGAUGCUGUUUUUAUCAAUGGUUCAGGGCAAUGCCAAGGCGAAAUUUGAUGAAACUCUUGAGGCGCAUGUGAGAUUGGGCAUUGAAAAAGGAAGAUCUGAGCUGGUAUGUGAUGCAUUUAUUUUCUCUGGAAAUACAUUAAUUUCUCUAUCCUAUUCUUAAUAAAAAGAUCGCGUUCUUAGCAUUUUGGUUGAUUGCCCCUGGCUUUAUCUCUAGACUGACUGCUAUCACUGUUUAAAUUGCAGAUAGUUCGUGGUACUUUGGCUCUACCCCACUCUGUUAAGAAGGUAAAAGAAAUGCAUUUGUAAUCCAUAAUCGGAAUUUCUAUUUUACCAGCCACUAAUAUAAUACAAGAAAUGAUCUUCCUUGUUCAGGAUGUGAAAGUGGCUUUCUUUGCCGAGGGAGCUGAUGCAGAGGAUGCAAAAGCUGCAGGAGCUGAUGUCGUUGGUGGUCUUGAGCUUAUUGAAGAGAUCUUGAGUAAUGAACCAAUGCAUUCUACUUCAAUUCAUUCUGACAUCUAAUUGAACAUGCUUGCAUUUGGCUCUGCCACAACUUAUCUCAUUUCCUGAGCAAUCUUUUUGUUUAUCGAAUUAUGUUCCAGUGGUAGAUUAUUUAUCUGUGUACCUUAACUCUAUCUGCAGAAAGUGGCAAGAUUGACUUUGAUAGAUGUCUUGCAACUCCAAAAAUGAUGCCCCGUGUUUACAAGGUUCUUGGAUUUGAGCACUUGUUUAAAUUCUUUGGAACAUGAUGUUGCGAUAUCUUCUCACAUAACAUACAUAUGGUUUGUGCUUAUUUGCAGAUAUCAAGAAUUCUUAACAAUCAUGGUUUGAUGCCAAACCCCAAAGUGAGUUUGAUUCUUUCACUCAGCAUCUUACUCUAAUGUAUCAGUAAGUAUGCUUACCUUUUUCCCUUAAAUGAAUUUGAACGAAUAUUAUAUUUGUUGUAGCAAGGUAGUGUGACCAAGGAUGUUACGAAAGCAGUCAAAGACGCAAAAGCUGGACAUACCAAAUUUAGAAUGGAUAAAACGUCUAUUCUUCAUGUGCCACUUGGAAAGGUGACAUCUCUUCCCAAAGACUUGAAGUUUACCUGAAUUUCAUUAACUUCAUUCUUAAUAAAGACUACUUUCCAAAAAACGUCCACCAGAUGAGCUUUUCUGAAGAGGCUUUACGAGAGAAUGUUGGUGCGUUUAUGAACGCCCUUUUGCUAGCGAAGCCUGCUGGAUUGAAAAAGAGUAAGUCAUACCGGGAGCUUAUAAGUUUUGUUGAGAGAUGAUUGUUUGGCUGAUUUGCUCUUUACCUUUCUCCUGCAGCUUCAAAAUAUGCUGGUUAUGUGAAUGCAUUCCACUUAUGCAGUACGGUAAGCUUACAAAUCAAACCCAACGUCUCCUUGUAGUAACAUUUUUGGAUUCCAUUAAACCUAAAAGAAUUGCUUUUUGCAGAUGGGAAAGGGUUAUCCAGUAUCGAUACAGUCGUUAUCCAGAGCAGCGGACCUCCAUACCAAAUUGCAGCUCAAGUGAGCUAGUGGAGUCCAAAAGAUUAAUCUUAAUCAUCCCGUAAAAGUUUUUUUUACUGUUUUCCAAAUGCUGAAUCUUUGAAAACAUUAUGAUUUGUUGUCUCUUAGGUAGUCUAUUGCUCAAUUGAUCGAAUUGGCUUCUGUCCUUUUCUCCUUUGUUUUUGUUGUUUGAGAGCUUAUCAUCCACUUUCCAUAGAGGCCCUUCACUUGAAUAAAACAUCAUAAAUUUUUGUCCCCUUGUGUGUUUUUUCCCGUUACAACUAUCCUUUCAGAUAAGAGUAAUCACCCACAAUCUAUAACCAAAGUUGUGGCAAUUAUGAUUUCUAGCUUCAUAAUCAAUGUAAUGAAGCCCACGCCUUCGCGAGUGUUUUAUUUAAUUAUGAACCGUGUCGUUUAGUAGCCCACAUGAAUCGGAGCCGUUAUUAGCCCACAUGAAUCGGCGUCGUUUAAUAGUCAUACGACUCGCCGUCGUUUUAGUAGUAGCACACGACUAGGCGCGUCUUUUUUAUUAUAUACUCGAAGAGUCUUUUUAAUUGCACUGCAUCACAUGUUACAUUUUCGACGUCUCUUCUUUCGGAUUGCCAAAACCCUAAUUGGGGACUGAAUUUGGAGAGCUUUCGUGAAUUGAAGCCGCCGCCUCUGUUGCAAUUAGCAAAGGUAUCUCUUUUCUUUGGGUAUCGAUGGCUUGAUCACUAUAGACAAUGGAUGGAACAGCAAAAAGAACGAAACUUUGAAGCUUAUCAACUCUGUUGCUGCCGUUCCUGAUUCUAGCUGUUGAAAAUUUAGUUUUUUGUUCAGUCUGUGUUUGAGGGUGUUUAGAGUAAUUAUGGAUAGAAUCAGCUCUUUACCAGAUGAGAUUCUUGAGCACAUUUUAUCCUUUCUCUCCACAAAAGAGGCUGCUUUAACCUCAUCGCUCUCUACGAGGUGGAAGAAUGUGUUUGUUUUUGUUCCUAGUCUUCACCUUGAUUACGCUAGACAACAUGAAAAUCCGAGAGAAUUCAUUGAUUUUGUGGAUUUUGUGAAUACUUUGUUCAAUCGGAAAGGCAAUUCUCCUAUAAAGAAGCUUGCUUUAAAGAUUCAUCUCAAAGAUAAUCAAUCUCUCCAAAACCAAACUCAUGUUCAGAGCUGGAUACACAGAGUCCUUUCUCGUGGUGGUGUGACGGAUCUUGAUCUCUUUAUCACUUUCAAAGGAAAAUUUCAACUUGUGCCUUUGUUGAUCUUCAAGAGCAAUACACUGGUUAAGCUGAGACUAGGACGUGGUUUUACAAUCAAGCUUUGUCAUGAAAAUGUUUAUCUUCCUAUGCUUAAGACUUUAUGUCUUGACACUGUUGAUUUUGAUGGAGAUCAUAAUGUCUUUGAAACUCUUCUUCCUCGUUGCCCUCUGCUUGAAGAAUUGGUUCUUGAGGAUCAGCGAUGGAAACAAUGGUGUGGUUCUGUGUCUUCUCCAUCUCUAAAGAGACUACGCAUCCGAUUCUUUCAUAUCCCCAUUAUUUCGCUUGAUGUUCCCGGUCUUGUCUACUUGGAACUUUCUUGUAUAUUUGGGAGCAAGUAUGCAAAUGUUAACUUGGAUUCCCUCGUUGAGGCUAGACUCAAUCAUUGGGUGGAAGAACAAGAAUUACGGAAACUAAGAGAUGGGUCUUCUCAUCUAGUUCCUGCUGACAUGAUGGAUCUCAUCACUGGAAUCAGAAAGGUUAAGGUUCUUCACUUAACUAGUGAUGCUCUUGAGGUCAGUCUGCUAUUCCUUUUUUAUUGUUCUAGUAAAGAUCUUUUUAUGUUACAGUCUUCUGAUGCCAAAACUGGAUUCGUUUAUUGAGGUUCUGACUCAAAUAUUGUAUUAUUACUUGAGCUGAUUUGGUUUUGGUUGCAGCUGUUUUACUUCUCCGGUCAAGAAUUACCCAUGUUCGACAACCUUGUUUAUCUAUCGAUCGCGAGUGACAAGAAGCAAGGAUGGCAAAUUCUGCCACUUCUGAUCAAGAACUCUCCAAAUCUUGAAACACUUGUCUUCAAGGUAUCUCAUGACAUAUAUAUAUACAAACCUAUCCUCAACGCCAUAUAUACCAAUAUGUCUAUAACUUUGUCUCCUCUAUGCUUCAGGGUCUAGAGCACUACACAACUAAACAAUGUGGGGAUGCAUGUGUUUGUUCUGGCAUUUUGGGGAAGAGCUCGUCUUGUCUGUCAUCAUCUCGAGUAAAGGUUCUGGAGAUAUGGAGCUAUCAAGGAACUUCGAAAGAGCUGAAACAAAUGGGGCAUUUCCUAAUGAAGUUACAAUUUCUUGAGCUGGUGAAAAUUCGUGCUGUAAGCAACCUCCAAGUGCCCAUUGAUAUACAGUAUCUUUUGAAGCUUCCAAGAGCUUCUUCAAACUGCAAAAUCCAAGCCAUAUUUUAACUAAAAGACUAUUGACUAGUACUUAUGGUUUUGCACAUUCCUUUUGAAUCACUCUUAAGUCAUGGAUGUUAAGUCUUUGUAUUUGGUUUAUAAACGCAGAUUUAGAAACAACAUUCAUGAACUUUAAGCAACUUGAAGCAAUCAUCGUAUUGUAUUAUCACAAUCAAAUACUAAUAUUUCGAGAUUUGACAAUAACACUGAUUAUAUACAUUAGUGAAACUCAUGGACUUAAUCUUUGCUAACUAAGUCAUGAUCAUAGAUGCUGAUUGAAGAAUCUUCAUUCGACUCUCUUCCUUAAACCUUGCAUUCUCUUUAAUCCUUUGAACCUCCUUCUGAAUCUUCUCACUCCCCAUCUCUUGUCUCUCCAUUGUCACGAGUCUCUCCCCAUUGAUCUCACCGAUUAACACUUUCCUCCUCAAAUCCGGAUUGUUACUAUCUCCCAUGUUGAACAGAAUCGACCGGUACUUUGCUUUAUGAGGUCCCAUGAAACAACCUAAUUUCUCAAACAUUGCAGAUUCCACUGAAACAGCCACGACAGAAGGAUCACAAGCAGUGACUCGUGUCUUCAUCUCUGUGUCAACAAUCUCAGAAGCGACUUUAACCAGAGAUGUUUGAAGAAUCUCACGCACUUUGUCUCGUUUCGAAUCUCCAGUCUUCUUCAUCGUUGAAUGCGUCGGAAUCUUCACCUGAGUUUCUCUAUCGUGGCUCUUUUCUCUACCUGAAGCGUAAAGAAUCUUCAUCCAAAGAUCCCGAAGAAGCCUUCCUUCCGAUCGAAUAUGAGGGUUUUUGUGAUCGUUCAAGAAACUCAAACCCUUCCCCAUGGAGGUUUUGGAGACCACCUCACAAGCAAGUGAUGUAGGAGCGUCCUUCAAACGAUUUCUAGCGUCCACAAACCUCGAAACCUUUGACGAAUUCUUAACACCUUUCACAGACUUAGCCGCUCGAAGUGCUGCCUCGUACAACUCCAAGAACUCCUGCUUCUGCAUCGUUGUUCUCAGUUCUGAUCGGUCUUUUGUGUGUGUUUGUUUGCUCUCUCUUUCUCUCGACGUAACUAGGGUUUCAAAGCAACGCAAGAGGAGAUAAUUUGGUAAUUGUUGGAAUGGUCUCUCUCUCUCUCUAUCUGAUGAGUUUAUAUAAAGAGAUAAGAGAGUUAAGAGCAUCCUUAUCAAUAGGUUGUUAACAAUAUCAUAAGAACUAUCAAAAUAUUAUAUUAAACAAAAUAAGAAUAAAAAAAUAAAAAAGUGUGUUUAAGAGAUGAAAAAUGGCUCUUAGCUAAGAGUUUUUUUCUUUAUUCUCUCCUUUUGUAAGAGCCUUUCUAAUAUUUAAACAUUAUUUUGUAUAUCAAAAUUGUUUAGAACUUUAUGUAAGAGUCCAUUGAUAAGGAUGGUCUUAUAAACUCCAACACAAUAGCAUGUAGGUUUUGAAUCUUAAAAUAAUCUUUCAUCCAUAUUCCAUCCUAGAAAUUAAUAUUUAUUCAUGAAAUUUGUAAUUCUCAUCGUUUGAGAAUUUCUUCCAAUCUUAAAACAUAUAAAUACAUAGAAAUUUCCAUGACCAAAUUUUUUCACUUAUUUAUAAAUGGCACUGUGGCAUAUAAAAUUCAUUAUUUAGUAAUAUAAAUACAUCACACAAAAGUAUAGGCAAGCUUGGGUGGCAAGAAACCAGAAGGCGGCGGUACAGAAUUUUUGCAUAUAAACACAUCAGAUUUUAAUGCCCAAAUUUCUCUCAUUUUCUUGCUUCGAAACCAAAUAUUCAAAGAGAGCGAGAGAGAGAGAUAGAUCAAGAAAGAAAGAGUGAUGCAGAAGCAAGAGUUCUUGGAAUUGUUCAAGGCCGCACAACGAGCGGCUAAGUAUGCGAGUGAUGAGAAUUCUCCAGAGGUCUCGAGGUGUAUCCAAUUCAUGAAGCGUUUGAAAGAAGCUCCUGCAUCUCUUGAUUGUGACGUGGUCGUUAACACAAACUCCAUUGGAAACGGAAUCCGUUUUCUCCGAGAUCACAAAAACCCCCUAAUUCGAUCUGAGGCAGAACUUCUUUCAGAUCUUUGGCUCAAGUAUCUUUACGCCACCGGUAGAAAACAGAAGUCGACAGAUUCUGUUUAGUUAAACAGAUUCAGAGAAAUUCAGAUUCAGGUUUUGAAUGUAACUGUAUUAAUGUGUUAGAGACUUGGGUUUGAAUGUAUAUGACAUUAUAUUACUGCUUCUUAAUAUGGCAGAUUUUGAAUAAAGAAAAGGUUUCACGAGAGAAGAUUAGAACACUAAUAUGUAUGACAAAAGCUUUCUUCUUGAUUCAAUGAAGUCACACUCAUUUCAAAUCCAUAAAUAAUAAAGCUUACUUAAGUACUAUAGUUGGUUAAACUCACAAUAAUAUGACAAUGUUUUGCUACUAAUCACAUCACUUGGAUCAGUUAUUUUUUGUUAAAACCUUGACUUGGAUCUUACACUUUGAUGACGCUCUUGGAAGCAUCAUAAGAUUCCUCAUUUCCAUGGUGGUUUGCAAGUUAUUACUGUUGUUUACCACGCAAAUUUUCACUAGCUCAAGACACGGUAACUUCUCCAAGAAAUGCUUCAUUUGAUUCAGCUCUCUUGUCGUUCCUUGAUAGCUCAAUAUCUCCAGCACCUUCACUUGAGAUGAUGAUAGGCAAGAGGUUAUGCUCUCGUCGGUAUCAUAGCAAACACAUACAUCCCCACAUCUGUUUGUUAUGUAGUGAUCGAGACCCUGAAGCAUAACAAAGAAAAAGAGUAAUGUUAACGACCUACCAAUAUAUAUAUGGUGUUUAGGAUGUGUUUGUGACAUGAGAUACCAUGAAGAUGAGGGUUUCUAGGUUUGGAGAGUUCUUGAUCAGAAGUGGCAGCAUUUGCCAUCCUCUUGCCUUGUCAUUCCCAAUAGAUAGACUAACAAGGCUGUCGAACAAUGGCAUUUCUUUACAUGAGAAAUAAAGCAGCUUCAACAAAACACAAUGUGUUAGUCUGUUGUCACUCAAUAACACAAAAGUUGAAAUAAAUCAUCAAAAGCCCCAAGUGAAUCUCAUUCUCGAUAAGCAAAAAAAAAGAAGAAUGUUAUUUAUAAGGAAAGAACAAUAUAUAGAGGAGGCUGACCUCUAGAGUGUGGCUAGAUAAGUGAAGGAUUCUAACAUUUCUGAUUCCAUUGAUGAGAUUUCUCAUAUCAGCGGGAAUGGAACCGAGAGAUCCAUUUCUUACUCCCACCAUUCUUGUUUCAUCCAUCCGAAGAUUGAGUCUAGCUUCGAUGAGGGAAUCCAACUUAACAUUAGGAUACUUACCCAAAACAUAACCAGAGUGUUUGUAGUAGAUAAGAUUAGGAGCAUCUAAUGAAAUACUAGUAAACUUGCGAUCAAAUCGGAUGUGUAGUCUCUUUAGAGAUGGAGAAGACACGGAACAAGUCCAAUCUACACAUCGCCGCUCCUCAACAACCAGUUCUUCGAGAACAGGACAGCGAGAUAUAAGAGUUCCAACAACAUUAUGACCUCCAACAAAAUUAACUGAGUCAAGACAUAAUGUCCUAAGCAAAGGAAGAGAAACAUCUUGAGAAAGCUUGAUUGUAAAACCACGUCCUACUCUCAGCUUAACCAAUGUCUUGCUCUUAAAGAUCAUUGCAGGCACUGGUGGAGAUUUUCCUUUUAAAGUAAUGAACACAUCAAGAUCCAUAACACCAUGGUCAAGAACGUUGCAAAUCCAACUUUGAAUGCGAGAUGAAUCAGUGCCACCUCGAACACCAACAUGACUCUUUAGAGUGAGCUUCUUUAUAGAAGAACCACGUUGCGUAUCUAGCAAUUUGUCAACGAAAGCCAUGUAAUUUCUGUGAAUCUCAAUCCGGUUUUGCUUAGUCUUAGGCACAGAUUGACGAUCAUCAAUAUCAAGAUUGGAAACCAAAACAAACAUGUUCUUCCACCUCUUAGAGAGUACUGAGGUUGAAACAGCUUCUUUUGUGGAGAUAAGAGACAGAAUACGCCCAAGAACCUCAUCUGGUAGACGGCUGAUUACAUCUUUAGCAUUCAUUGAUACCAAAACCUUAAAACCACAGCAAUUGGAUUCAGAAACAGUAACUAGACAGAGUUGAUGAG